RNAcentral lists this long non-coding RNA (50644 nucleotides) under Prunus persica (peach). RNAcentral's name for it is "long non-coding RNA (PPER_LNC001496)". Lineage: Eukaryota; Viridiplantae; Streptophyta; Magnoliopsida; Rosales; Rosaceae. The record is from RNAcentral.
UAUAAUUUGCAGACUCCACAAAUGAAGAAAAGAGCACAAAUGACGUUGGCAAACCUGAAACUUUCCCAUUGGGCAAUAAACAUUACUCCAGUCAAAAACAUUAUGGAAGAGGCAAACCUGAAACUUUCCCAUUGGGCAAUAAACAUUACUCCAGUCAAAGACAUUAUGGAAGAGGCAAACCUGAAACUUUCCCAUUGGGCAAUAAACAUUACUCCAGUCAAAGACAUUAUGGAAGAGGCAAACCUGAAACUUUCCCAUUGGGCAAUAAACAUUACUCCAGUCAAAAACAUUAUGGAAGAGGCAAACCUGAAACUUUCCCAUUGGGCAAUCAGCAUUACUCCAGUCAAAAAAAGUAUGGAAGAGGUGCUUCUCCAUCCGACAAUCAACCACCAAUUCCAUAGAAAUUCAAACACGGCUACUUUCUUGCCACGAGAAAGCGCUCAAUCGAUCCCCUUCUCCUCUAACAAACUACCAGAAAUUUUCAACCAUUUUUCAGUGAAGCCAACAUCUGAGGAAGCCAAAACAAUUAAGCAAACAAUCGAAGAGUGUGAAGCUCCAGACCUUAAGGGAGAGGAAAUAUAUUGCGCCACAUCUUUAGAAUCAAUGGUUGAUUUUAGCACUUCGAAGCUUGGAACAAGAAACGUUGAAGCAAUCUCGACGGAGGUAUUGGAAAAAGGAGCCACCAUGUCCAUCCAAAACUAUACAACAAUGCCGGGACUGAAGAAGUUGGCAGGUGACAAAGUCGUUGUGUGUCAUAAGCAGAACUAUCCCUAUGCUGUGUUUUUCUGCCAUGCAAUAAAACAUACAGCAGCUUAUGCUCUCUCCCUGAAAGGCGAUGAUGGGGAGAAGGUUAAAGCAGUAACCAUCUGCCAUCUAGACACAUCAGAAUGGGACCCAGAGCAUAUGUCCUUCAAAAUCGUCAACGUUAAGCCCGGAACCAUUCCCAUCUGCCAUUUCAUUUCCACUGAUGCUAUUGCCUGGGUUCCGAACCACAAAUCUGCAUGAUCAUCACUUAGCACUAGUACUGUGCGUAUAAUAUGCCUGUAUAAUUAUCUCCCUACUUAUUUCUGCCUGUUCAUCAUGUGGUGUAAGAUAUAUGUUGAGAUGAAGUUUUUGGGAUUAGUGGUCGAAAUUAACCCGAUCAUGUUUUCUCUUGUAACUAUAUAGACUUCAACUUGUACUCAUAAUAAAGCAUGCUAUAUUUAUGAAGAGAUAUUAAUCUUCAGGCAAAUAGAUAUUAUGAAAACAUAUAUAGCAAUUUAUCCAGAAGAAAUAUUAUGAAAUGAAAAGAAUAAAAAGUAAAAAAACAGAAGGAAAGGAAUUCGCACCUGCUAUGUAUGAAAGGACCAAGAUUGUUUUCCCUUUGGUUAAUGACUAGAAAAGCUCACUUGCAGAUUGCUUUCUCUGACCGUAGAUGCAACAGAAAUUUUCUCUUAAUAAUAGCACAAUGAUCGGGUAAUUGUAAGAACAAGUUGAUUUAAAAUUCCUUGACCCAAAAAAAAAAAAAAAAUCAUUUCAAAUUCAGGUCAACCCAUAGAUUUCUUGCCUUUUUCUUCUUCAUCACGUUGGGCUUGUCUUCUUCUUGAGGAUUGUAUAGGCCCAGGAAAUGCUUUGAGGUAGUUUUUGGCCUUGGAAGUUGGGACCCAACCCAACUUCACAAAAAGAAAACAGAUUUGCCAAAAAUCAAAUUUCAAGUCUCUCCUCAGAUCACUAAUACAGAUCAAAUUUUGGAUUUGAUGAACUAAAGUGGUUUUACUUUCUCUGUCAGUGUUUGAUGACUUAAUUUGUUAUUUACUUCUUUUUUUUUUUUUACUUGAUCUUUGUAGGGGUUUUUUUCUUCCGGUAACUUAAACGGGCUGGGCUGCCGUAAAGGGUAGAUUGAUGAAAUUGUCUCCUUUGUCUGAGUUCGAAAAUCAAGCCCCAAAAGCGCUUCGAAAGGGCAGUAGAGCCUUAGGAAGCGUUCUAGUCAUCUUCACCAACUAAAACAACAGCAACUUACAGAUGAUUUCUUAAGGCUUACAGAUAAAUUUUCUAGCUUGGCAUGAGAGGCUUGUGACAUGGAAGCAAAAUCAGCAUGAGUUUAGCACCAAAGAGGAAAAUAUGGCUUCCUAGGGAGAAAUGGGAGUGUUUAAGGUGAGGAAGAAGAGGUUUGCAGGCUGAUUUGGCUGAGGAGAGAGAAAGAAAGAACAAUGUUCUUCCAGUAGCUUGACAAAGCUUCUGACAGAUGUGAAAGUCGUCUGCCAUAAGAGGAAAAUGAAGAAGAAUGGUGAAUAGUGCAUGAAAUUGCUGGGUUUUUGCAGGUAAGAGAGAAAGCUUGCUCUCUGAAUUUGAGUUGGUUUUUGGUUGGGUAGAAGAGGCCCCCUUUUAUAGCUGCGGGAAACCAUCUUUUUUCAAGAAACCCUAAUGGUUUCUAUCCAUUUUGGCCAAGCUUUUCCCUUCAUUUCUCUUCUCCUCCCUUGACUUUUCCUAUCUUGGUGAAAUUUCCUCUGCCUAUUUGCACAAAAUUAGAGAUUUUGAGGAGCUCAAGACCCCUUUCCCGCAGCUGCCUCAGUGGAGAAUCCCCAUUUUCAGUCAUCUUUCUUCCUUCUUUUCUCCCAUCUUCCAAGGUUAGGUCUGAUGAGGGAAAGAAAUGGGUAUGCACACUGGUUUGAAGGGUAUUUUUGCUUGAAACUUGUUCUCUCCCAUGUGCUGGAGCUUCCCAGCAACUUACACACAUGGAUAUUUUGGCUUUCAUCGUGGCUUUUGUUUUCAGCUAGGUGCUGGAGAUUUCGCAGAUAUUUUCAUGAGUUGCUUGGGCCUUCUAGGACAAUAGGUUGGUUUAUCAAGUGAAUGGGCUAACUUCAUCAAUUGUUGGGCUAUUUUGGUUGAGUUAAUGGACUAUUUUGGUUGAAGUAAUGGGCUAUUUUGGUUGAAUUAAUGGGCUAUUUUUCUCUCUUUGUGCUCACCCACAUAUUUGGGCCUAAGAAAUGGGCUUGAGUUCCGGGGCUCCCAAGCAACCCCGGGACUUCCAUUUCUCGGCCCAUCAAUGGGCCUCAUAUCAACUUAUUACCAUCCAUAUCACAACCCACUCAAGCAAGCCCUGGGCAUCUUGCGUGGCUUGGGCCCACUUAAGCUUGUAGCGUGACGUGUUGCUUAUUUGCUUGGCAUGGCAUGUGUGCAAGCGCAUAUGACGAACUUUAGCGUGCCCAAAUUGGGUUUAUUCUCGGUAAGGUAUCGCAUUGGGCCGAGAAUUUAAUUGGGCAGAACUGUGGAUUUUUGGGCCUCAACAAUCUUAUAUAUAUUGGUUUUCUUUUUUUCCUUAAUAUUCACCACCUUUCUGUUGCAUAAGUAUUUCAGUCUUAACGGGUUUCCAUCUACCACUCAUCUUUGCUCUUUUAAGUGUAAGCUUUUUUUUUUUUUUUUUAAGCACAAGAUUAGAGGGGAGGGGGAUUUCUCAAUGUAAGCUUUGCAGUUUCAUAAUUAAUAUUUCCAAUAUCUCACUGUUAGUAAAAUAUGGAACAGGAAAAGUAUGAAUAAAAUACACACAUGUUUUAUUUAGCAAAAUUUUGACAAGAUACAACUGAAAAGUUUGGCCACUAUAUAAUAUUUUGAUAUAAUUUCUACACUUCUUCUCAAAAGAUUAGAUCACUUCACAUCUUGUGUAUGUGAAAACUAAUGUAAAAAGUUGAAACUUUAUCGUAAAACCUCGACAAAAAUGAGCUCUACUAGAAAAUGUUCAAUUUGGAUUCGUUGAUUUAAAUGGCAAUUUGACACUUGAUAGAAAUUUUUACAUACAUGUGUUAGUGUUUGAUCACUUCACAUGUUACUUACUAUAUUUAUUCCACUCAAGUUAGGUAAAUAUUAUUAUCAAACAUUUCAAUUAAUUUGUGAUUUUUUUAUUAUUUAAUCAAUUAUGAAUUAAUGGAUUCUUCUUGUUGUUUUGAAGACCAAUAAAAAAAAAAGGGUAAGGAUGGCUUAUAACUCUGAUAAAACAACAGUGACGUGGACAGCAGAUGUUACACCGUACUGAAGAUUUUUGAAGAUUCUUUAUUUGGGUUUCUUUCAAGAUGAAAACCAUAUUAUCCACAACCACAAUGAAGAAGACAGAAAAUGGAGUAAUUCAGAUGUUACCAGCCAUCCACGACAAACUGAAGUCUGCAAAGCAUUCGUAAUCUAAAGGGAGACUUUGGAAAAGCCCAAAGGAGAGAGAAAAUUUUUAAAAGAAGCAAAAAUGGACAAAAUUGCCCUUAUUUAUUUUUUGAUUUCCUAAGAAAUCCUUUACAUUUGCAUGUCUUUGGUUUGAAAGUUGAGAGGUUAUUCUGUCUUUUUUCAAAAAGCUUUGGCUUUUUCCAAAAGUGAAAGUUUUUUUAUGGGUAAAACCUAAAUUUACUUAAUCCCUAAAAAGGAUGGGGAGGCUGCGCAAUACUUAGCCACGUGUAGGCCAGGAGGCUUUCCAAUUUUAAUAUAUAUAUAAAUUGAAAAAAUAAAAUAAAAAUCAAUCUAUUAUCCUAUAUAAAAUAAAGAUUAUUGCUUCCAUGGGCAGUGCUAUGCACAGGACAGUGCCUGCCCAGCACAAAUUUUUUUUAAAUAAAAAAAAAAAAUCUACAUAUGUUAUAAGCUCAUCCAAAAAAAUAAAAUAAAAUAAAAGUAAAUUCUACAUAUAUGUUGCCCAUCUAGGUGGUUCCAUAUCUUCUCUCUCCUUCUCUUUUGGCUAUUAGACUUCUUGUUUCUCUCUCUCUCUUUGCUACCUCACAUCAGCAAGUUUCUCCCUCUCUUUUUUUGGGGUCAAAUUCUUCCUCUAUUGACAAAAUCUUCUAUUAUCUUGGGUGGGCAACUUGGCAACAACAUCUUCUCUUCUCCUUUUGUCAACAACAAGUAUUAUUCUCAUUCUCUCAUUUGCUAUAUAUCUUUAAUUAUAGUUUUAAUUUAAAAUUGAGUAUUCUAGGGUUUAAUUAGGGAUGAAUUAUAAUUUUAGAAUUUUGUUGAAAUUAAUUAAGGCUUCGAUUAGGGGUGAAUUAUUCUACUGCUUUGGUUUGGAAUUUUGUUAAAAUUGAGUAUUAUAGGGUUUAAUUAUGGAUGAAUUAUAAUUUUUGAUUUUGGUAUUAUUGAGAUGUUAUUAUGAGAAUUUGUUUCAUUUUUUUAUUGGUAUAUUUGAUUAAAAUUCUUUCUACAUAUUAUUCAUAGGCUAUCUUUUAUUAUGUCGGAUCACAAUCGGAAUCCCAAGAGAACAAAGAAUUUGAAUAGUGUUGUUUUGUAUUGCAUUGCAUUUACUUUUGGUUUUAGUUUUGCUUUUAGUGUAAAUUACUCAAAUGGUCCUCAAAUUUGUACCCGAUUUACAUUUUGGUCCAUAAACUAAAUUAUUCAUUCAAAUGGUGCACCAACUCUUUAUUAAUCAGUGCUUUGGUCCUACCGUUAUGUUUUCUAUUAAAUUUAGUCAUGUGAGCAGCACAUGCUACAUUUGUAGGGGUAAAUAAGACUUUUGACCACUUUAUCACCUAUGUAUCACCACUUUAUAACCUAUUUGGAGAACAUAGGUCAGUUAUGGACGGUUUUACAAUUAUAUUUGACGGCAACAUUAACAUAAUGUAACAGUGGGAUCAAUGGAGCGAUUAAUAUAGAGUUGAUGGACCGUUUGAACGAAUAAUUUAAUUGAGGGACCAAAACGUAAAUUGAGUAUAAGUUUGAGGACCAUUUGAGUAAUGUACCCUUCGCUUUUAUAUUUGUUGAACUUUUAUUUAUGGAUAGAUAUGCAUUUGAGGGUAAGACCCAUUAUGUUCCCCCUGACUUGGUGUAUCUUUUUAUGUUUAUUAAUGAAAUUCACUCGAACUGUUGAGUUUAGUAUGUAAGUUUUGCCUAACCGGCUUUUGAAUCCUAGAACCGCCACUGUUGCUCCAUCCUCCAUGCACUUGCAUGUGCUCUUACAAAGUGUGAAGUAGAUUUUGUGUGCUCCAAGUCAUUGACUAGAGCUGAAACAUGGUUAGCUAGAUUUAUAAGGACCCAUCUCUCUAUUUCCUAGACAUAUACCCAUCUCUCUAUAAAUCUAUAUGUAAAACUCAAUUUCAAACUUAAAUGACCAGUAAGAUAUAAGAGGUCAUAGUAUUCCUAUGUUUUUACAUCGUUGCCACCAGACUUCUUAUUUUAUUUAUAAUUUAUUUCAAGCAUUUCAUUAACUGCCAUAAUUGUAAUUAAUACUCCAUAUUAAUAGCAUAUCAAUCACCCCAUUUCUUUUGAUUGCCAUUCCCUCUAACAUAUCGCCCCUUAAAAUUGAAAACCAAAAAAAAAAAAAAUGUAAAUUACAUAUCCAAUAAUGUACCUAUGAAAAAUAUAAAUAUAAAUAUAUACGUAUAAAAAUAUAGGUUUAUUAUUUACCAAAUAAAAAAUAUAAAAAAACUAGGUCAGUUGCUUUGUAAUUGAAAUUUCUAUACAUUUUCCACAAAUUAAAAAUAGGUACACAAUAAUUUAUAGAAAAUAUAGGUGCAUUAUUUAUCCAUAGGUAAAAAUACCUAUAAAUGCACAUAGGUAAAUUAUUUACCCAUAUAUUAUUUUUUUGCUAAGGAUUUACCUUAGUUUUUAGUAGAUUAAUUUACCUACCUAGAGGCAUAGGUAGCUUAAAAAAAUUGUAGCACCUUAGUUGGUUGCAUACUAAUUUACCUACCUAGAGGCAUAGGUUGCUAAGAAAAAAUGUAGGUAAAUUCAUGUACCUAAACACAUAGGGGUCAAAUAGAGAAUAACAUGUUAUUUCCCUUCGAACAAAUUAAUUUCAAACCAUAACAAUAAUUGAAUUCGGAAAUUGGUAUAAAUAAAAGGAAAUAAAUAAGCUAUCAAUUUGAAAAUUAAAAUAAGAAAUGAUCAAGUAGUCAUAUUUGAAAAAAAAGAAAAGAAUAUAUUCUUGGUUUUUAUAGGAACAACGUGUAUAUUCAAACCAAAUGGCAGUAACUACACCAAGCUUUAAUUACUUUUUUUUAAGGCCAAAAGUCACUUUUGGUCUCUGUAGUUUGACACUUCUAUUACUUUUGACGCUGUAGUUUCAAUUCCGUCAAUUUUGCCAUUGUAGUUUCAUAUUUGUAGCAAUUCAAGGACAUGUUAAUAUUAAUGUCAAUUUGUUUAAUGAUGCAAGGGGUAAUUUCGUCAUCCCAAAAUCCUUGAGCAUAAAAGCUUGUCUGAAAUUCUCCCCAUUUCAUAUUAGGGCUCGAAAUUCAACCACUAAUCCCAAUUUUUGAAGAACCCUAUACCCAAAUGACCAAUUUCAAGCCCUAAUAACAAAUUAGGGAAGUUUUAGAUGAGCUUUUAUGCUCAAGGAUUUUGAGUUGAAGAAAUUGCCCCUUGCACUGUCAAAGAAAUUGAUAGGAAUACUGACUUGUCCUUGAAUUGCUACAAAUACAAAAAUACAGGGUCAAAAUUAACAGAAUUUAAACUAUAUGGUCAAAAGUGGUUAAAGUGCCAAACUACAAGGACCAAAAGUGACUUUUAGCCUUUUUGUUUAAAUAAGGAAAAAACUUACCUAUUAAAUCCUUGGAAUCUAUACAAAAUUGAAACACAGUUAAUCAGCAUUGAAUUGCAGCUAAUUUCUUAAACAAGGGUAUUAUAGGAAUUUAAAAAGUAUAACAUUUAAUCCAUUGAGCUUGAUUAGGAAUCUUGAUGAGUUGGAUCCUAGUUAUAUAGUUUCUCUUAUAAAAAUCGGGUUUUAUUUAUAGACAAAUAAAACAAUGGGUUGUAGGUAAGAAAAUAUUAAUUUGAAGGGAAAGUGUCACAUCCUGGGAUCGGCUCCGCCGUAGCACGAUAUUGUCCGCUUUGGGCCCCCCUCUCUGCCCGCACGGUUUUGUUUCUGGGAGCUCACGAGCAACUUCCCAGUGGGUCACCCAUCCUGGGAUUGCUCUGGCCCCCAACUCGCUUAACUUCGGAAUUCCUAUGACUCCGAAGCCAGUGAGCUCCCAAAAGGCCUCGUGCUAGAUGGAUGCGGGUGUGUACAUAUAAGACACAUCACCCCCUCUCCGUUGGUUGAUGUGGGAUCUUACAGAAAGAGUCAAAUUUACUAAAUUAAUAAAGCAUAAAUUGGAAAGGGAAAAGAUCUAGAGGAUGCAUUGUAGGAUUGCUCAUGCCAAUAAUUGCACCCUCUCGAUAUUGAAAAACCUAUUGUGUAUUAUUAUCUUCAAUCAUGAAUGAUGCACCUAAAACCCAAGUGUCCCAAGCCAACCAUUGCGCUCAUACCACUUGUUGCAGUACACAUUCACCCGUUUUUAAAGAAAGAAAUUCUACCAAUCGAUAUUGUCUCAAAUUUAAUCACAUAGGUCUAUUAUGGUUAACCAUAUGUACUUUUAUCGGCCAUAUAGAGGUACCUUUUUCCAACGUGCAACAAUUGUAUUUGAUUCACAAUUAUGUCUGAUAUACAUCACAUCAUGCCACUUGCCUCAAAUGAAUUUAAUUGAGUGAGGCAAUGGGAAGUAAUUAAGCUCUAUAUUGGUGGGUGGAGUGUUACUUCUGGAACCCUCAUCAUUCGUCCAUACAAGGGAACAAUUCCCUUCCUUCUAUAAAAUGGUGAAGCCAGUUGCUAUUGUUUGUUAGAGUUUUAGGAUCUGAGUGUUAGAUUUUGUGAGAAGAGAGAAGAGAAUUUAGUGAAAACUUCCAAUACUGCUCUGCUAUACGUGUAGCAGAGAGAACAUUCUGUUUUGUUAUAUAUUUUCAGUACAACAACACACACUUGGUGUGAGAAGAAAAAUGACUGUUAUGCACAGUACCAGCUGGAUGCUUUCCAUCAAAGUAAUCUCAGCCAUUCACUAUCUAACCAAUCAAGCUAUGACACCUGGACUAAGUAUAAAGAAAUACAACUAAGCAGAAAACAAGACUCUUAAUCCUGAAAUCAACUUAAGCACUUAUAAUUCAACACUCCCCUUUAAGUCUUGAGGUGAUUUCACUCCAAGCAUGCCUCUGAGAUAAUUGAAUCUGUCUUUGGCCAGAGGUUUGGUAAAAAUGUCAGCCAAUUGUUCAUUUGUAGGACAAUAUUCCAGAUUGAUUACCCCUUCUUGCAAUGCAUCCUUGAUGAAGUGAUACCUCCUGUCAAUAUGCUUUGUCUUCUGGUGGAAUACAGGGUUUUUAGUGAUUGCAAUUGCUGAGAUAUUAUCACAAUGCAAUGGAGUAGCUUCAGUUUGAAGCUCUCUAAAGUCUUCUAGCACAAAACGGAGCCAAAUAGCUUGAGUAGUAGCCUCAGCUGCACUGAUGUACUCAGCUUCUGCAGUAGACAGUGCAACACAGUUCUGUUUCACUGAGGCCCAAGAAAAUACUCCACUUCCAAAACUAAACGCAUACCCUGAUGUGCUCUUGCAAUCACCAACUGAUCCUCCCCAAUCACUGUCACAGUAACCAACUAGAAUUGAUCUUUUGCCUUUCACAUAUUCAAGACCAUAGUCCAGAGUUCCUUUGAUGUAUCUCAAAACCCUUUUAGCUGUUCCAUAGUGUCUAUUUGUAGGACAGUGCAUGAAUCUAGCUAGCAAGCUUGAGGCAUACAUGAUGUCUGGUCUUGUAGCAGUUAAGUACAGCAAGCUACCAACAAUGCUUCUGUAUUGUUCUUCAUUUGCAGCUCAACUCCCAUCAUCCUUAGCUAGUUUCUCAGUGGCAACAAGGGGUGUUGUCACAGGUUUGCACUCAGUCAAACCAAACUUGCUCAACAAGGUGCUAGCAUAUUUCUUUUGAUGUAGAAAUAUACUAGACUCAGUCUGAAUAACUCCCAUGCCAAGAAAGUGAUGAAGUAAGCCCAAAUCAGUCAUCUCAUACUUAGCCAUCAUGUCUUCUUUGAAUUCAGCCAACAAUGCUUGACUGCUCCCUGUAUACACAAUAUCGUCUACAUAGAUAGACACAAUUAGAAUCUCCUUAUCUCCCCUUACUUUGGUAUAUAAGGUUGUUUCACUUAAGCUUUUCACAAAACCACAUUGAGUGAAGUAGCUGUCUAUCUCUCCAUACCAAGCCCUUGGGGCUUGCUUCAGACCAUAAAGGGCUUUAUGCAAACGAUAAACCUUGUCUUCUUUACCUUUAAUUACAAAACCUUCAGGCUGACUGACAUAAACUUCCUCUUGCAGCACACCAUUAAGGAAAGCAGACUUCACAUCAAGCUGGAACAAUUUCCAAUCCUUUUGAGCAGCUAGAGCAAUAAGUGUUCUAAUGGUGUCCAAUCUGGCUAUAGGUGCAUAAGUCUCAUUAUAAUCCAGUCCAGGCUUCUGAGCAUACCCCUUAGCCACUAAUCUUGCUUUAUUCUUUUGCACUGAGCCAUCCAAAUUCAGCUUUGUCUUGUACACCCACUUAACUCCAAUCACUGGUUUUUCAGUUAGUCUAUCUACCAAUUCCCAUGUUUCAUUCUUUUCAAUCAUCUGCAGUUCAUCUUCCAUAGCCUUAAGCCAAGAUUCAUCCUGAGCAACAUCAGCAUAUUUUUCUGGUUCCAUGAUACACAAGUUACACUGAGCUAGAACAUCAUCUAGCCUUCUCCAUUUUAGAGGGGUGUGAUCAUAAGCUUGAGUUCUCCUUUCUUCACUGCUUAUAUCACCUGGAGUUGAUGAAAUGCUCUCUUGCAUAUCCAAAGUUUGAGGUGUACCAGUAGAAUUCUCAUUAGAACUGUCAGAUUUCAAGUCCAAAUCAACUUGGUUUUCAAUUGAGUAUGUUGUCAUAACUGAACCAUUUUUGUUUGUCCAAUGCCAAGCAUUUUCUUCAUCAAAUGUCACAUCCCUUGAUAGUAAAAGCUUGUUAGAAACAGGAUCAAAAACUCUAUAUCCUUUUUCACAAGUUGCAUAUCCCACAAACACUCCCUUUGUACUCUUAGGAUCCCGCUUGUGUCUCAAUUCAGUUGGCACAUGAACAUAACACAGAGAACCAAACACUUUCAGAUGUGCAAUUCCAGGCUUCCUUCCACUAUAUGCUUCGAAUGGAGUAAUGUUGUUGAGAGCUUUGGUAGGACAUCUGUUCAGCAAAUAGAUAGCUGUAUGCACAGCUUCUGCCCAUAGGAAAUAAGGCAUUCCCUUCUCAUGUAACAUUGAUUUUGCCAUCUCAAUGACAGUUCUAUUCUUCCUCUCAACUACUCCAUUCUGCUGAGGAGUAUAGGCCAUUGUAAGCUGCCUUUGAAUGCCAUUAGCUUCACAAAACUCCAAAAAAUCAGUAGACAUAAACUCUCCACCCCUGUCACUUCUUAUGCACUGAACCUUGUGUCCAGUUUGUAAUUCAGUCAUGGACUUGAACUUCUUGAAACAAAAGAAGGCUUUUGACUUGUUUCUCAAGAAGUAUACCCAAAUCAUUCUUGUGAAAUCAUCUAUAAUCAGCAUGAAAUAUCUGUUCCUUGCAACAGACUCAUUUCUCAUGGGACCACAGAGAUCCACAUGUAUUAGCACUAGUACUUUGCUUGCUCUUUGAGCUUGAUCUUUUGGAAAAACAUUUCUGUGCUGUUUUCCAAAUUGGCACCCGUCACACACACCACUUUGUUCUUCCAAUUUUGGUAAACCAUGUACCAUUUCUUUAUCACUUAGCUGCUUCAAUCCUCCAAAAUGCAGAUGACCAAAUCUCUUGUGCCAAAUCCAUGUGGAUUGAAGAAAACUAGUCUUCAUUAGUAACUGUUUUUCAGCUAGAAAAGAGACAGGAUAGCAUCUGUUACUCUUCAUUUGCACCUUUAUGAUGAGAUAAUCCAUGGAUGGGCUAUCAAAUACCCUGCACAUCCCUUCUCCAAACACUAGACAGUACCCAUGUUCAUCCAUCUGCCCAACACUUAGCAGAUUUUCUUUCAAUCCUGGCAGAUACAUUACUUCUCUGAUGUAUUUCCUGCCCUUUGCUGUAUCAAUACUCAGUGAGCCAAUACCAGCUACACUCACUAAUGCACCAGUUGGCAUUUGUACUCUCCCAGCUACAUUAGUUCUCACAUCAACCAGCAAAUCUAAAUUUCCUGUCAUAUGAUUGCUGCAGCCACUGUCAAUGUACCAUUCAUUGGUUUUGAUCUCAGUGGUUGAGCAAUUGGCAUAAAACAGGUUUCCUGUAACCUCCAUUUGAUUUACACAAUUAGCCUUCUGCACAUUUUUGCUCACUGUACAGUCUCUAGCAAGAUGUCCAACUCUGUCACAGUUAUAGCAUUUUGGUUUUCCCUUAUACCUGCACUCACCAAAAUGAUGCUUUGAACACACCUUGCAUUGAGGCUUUGUGUUUUCCUGAUUUGAGAACUGUGUUGAAGUGUGGUUCUGUGCAGAAUAAUUAUUCUGCUGUGUCUUGUCUUUUGCCUCCCAUGACUUCCCUUUAGAGUUCCAGCUUCUCUGUGACUUAGAUGAACCAGACUGAGAAGCAUUUUUGUUCUGACCCUUUGAAUUCACAGUGAAUGAGGCAAAUGCCUUCUCAGCUGUAUCAACACUAUGCAUUUCAAGCCUUUGCUCCCGACUCUUCAAAAUGGCAGUUACUUCCUGCAAAUCCACAGUUUCUAGUGUCUUUGUGUUUUCAAUCACAAUGCAUAUAGGGUCAUACUUCUUACUUAGACUAAUUAACACCUUCUGAACCUACCUCUCAUUUGACAGAACUUCACCAAAUGUUUUCAUUUGGUUAAUCAAUUCAGUUAGUCUAGUAAGAUAUUCAGAUAAGGUUUCACUAUCACGCAUCCUACUGUAUUCAAACUCACGUCUAAGGUUUUGAAGCUUUACCGAUCUAACAUGCUCUCCACCAUGAUAUUCUGAGUACAGCAGAUUCCAAGCCAUCUUUGCAGAGUCAGCAUUGGCAAUUCUGGGAAAAAUCUGAUCAGAAACAGCAUUUUGAAUGAUACCCAAGGCCUUCGCAUCCUUCAUGAGAAUCGCAGCUGUUUUCUCAUCAACUUCUUCUUCUGAACCAUCCUCAGAUUCCUGCUUCGUCUUUGAAUCUGGGAUUAAAAACCCCUUCUCUACCAAACCCCAUAAACCAUAUGAUCUGAAUAUGGUUACCAUCUUAAUCCUCCAAAAUUCAUAGUUCUCACCUGAGAAAAUGGGGAUUCUAGCCUCUGAACUUCCAGAUCCAGCCAUUACGAAUUUCAGAUUCGCCUGGAAACAAGAUGUUUUCAGAUUUGACCCUUGAUCGAGCUCAAUCAGCUUCGUGAGCUUAGAAUGAGCUCACCUCGAUCGAUUUUCUUCACAGAACAACGCCCAGCUUCAGAUAAUCAAACUUGGCUCUGAGGCCAUGUUAGAGUUUUAGGAUCUGAGUGUUAGAUAUUGUGAGAAGAGAGAAGAGAAUUUAGUGAAAAUUUCCAAUACUGCUCUGCUAUACGUGUAGCAGAGAGAACAUUCUCUUUUGCUAUAUAUUUUCAGUACAACAACACACACUUGGUGUGAGAAGAAAAAUGACUGUUAUGCACAGUACCAGCUGGAUGCUUUCCAUCAAAGUAAUCUCAGCCAUUCACUAUCUAACCAAUCAAGCUAUGACACCUGGACUAAGUAUAAAGAAAUACAACUAAGCAGAAAACAAGACUCUUAAUCCUGAAAUCAACUUAAGCACUUAUAAUUCAACAUUGUUACCAUAAGAGCCAGCUCCGACUUUCUUUAAUUUCAGUCCUAACGGGGUUUCAUCUUCCACUCAUCUUUGCUCUUCUCAGUGUAAGCUCUGCAAUUUGAUUAACUUUCCCAUUAUCUCUCACUGUACUCUAUAUAAAGGAAUAAGUGUCGUCCACUAAUUAAUUACACUUUGUGAGAUUUGAUUUUAAUUAGAGUUCGAAUUGAUGUUGCAGCUAGCAGCGGUGGCACUGGCAAACCAUGCUGCUCAACCAGCACCUCAACUUUACUGGAACUCCGUCCUGCCAAACACACAAAUGCCAAGAGCUAUCAGUGAACUUCUGCAUCCUGGUUUGUGUUGAAUAAAUAUAGUAUGUUACUGGAGUACGUAUGGCAACAUAUUCACAAAUGUGUCACGUAUUUUCCAAUAUGACGUUGAUAUAUAAUUGCAGACUCCACAAACGAAGAAAAGAGCACAAAUGUCAUGAAUGCUGUUGGGAAUGGAAAGCCAAUUGACCACAAGGGCAACCUGAAAAUACUGUACUACCACAGCUUGCACGACGCCCAUUUUCUUACAAGAGUGAUGAUCGUCCCACUGACAAUCAACUCCAUUAUAAAAACGUAGCUAUUUUCUUCUUGGAGAAGGACAUGCGCCCUGGCACAACAAUGAGCUUCCAAUUCCCUAGAAAUUCAAACACGGCUACUUUCCUGCCACCAGAAAGAGCUCAAUCGAUCCCCUUCUCCUCUAACAAACUACCAGAAAUUUUCAACCAUUUUUCAGUGAAGCCAACAUCUGUGGAAGCCAAAACAAUUAAGCAAACAAUCGAAGAGUGUGAGGCUCCAGGCAUUAAGGGAGAGGAAAUAUAUUGCGCCACAUCUUUAGAAUCAAUGGUUGAUUUUAGCACUUCGAAUUUUCGAACAAGAAACGUUCAAGCAAUCUCGACAGAGGUAUUGGAAAAAGGUGCCACCAUGUCCAUGCACAAGCAUACAACAAUGCCGGGACUGAAGAAGUUGGCAGGUGACAAAGUCGUUGUGUGUCAUAAGCAGAACUAUCCCUAUGCUGUGUUUUACUGCCAUGUAAUAAAACCAACAGCAGCUUAUGUUCUCUCCCUGAAAGGCGAUGAUGGGGUGAAGAUUAAAGCAGUAGCCAUCUGCCAUCUAGACACAUCAGAAUGGAACCCAAAGCAUUUGGCCUUCCAAAUCCUCAAAGUUAAGCCCGGAACAAUUCCCAUCUGCCAUUUCCUUCCCACUGAUCAUAGUGUCUGGGUUCCGAACCACAAAUCUGCAUGAUCAUCACUUAGCACUGUACGUAUAAUAAGCUUGCACCCCUGUAUAAUUAUCUCCCUACUCUACUUAUUUCUGCCUCUUCAUGUGGUGUAAGAUAUAUGAUGAGAUGAAGUUUUUGGGAUUAGUGGUCGGGUUGCCUUAAAAACACAGAUUACAGAAACUGCUUGAACUUAACCCGAUCAUGUUUUCUCUUGUACUCGUAAAGCAUGCUGUUGUGGUUCUACUUAAUUUCGUUCUCCCCAAUGUUUGAGUGUUUAAUUGUUACGUUGGAUAAUGCUUGUAGUUAGAGAAGCCUUCAUUUAUAUCAAAGUCCUCAACUUGUAAAGAUAUCAAUGGUCCUAGUGCUGCCACGUGUAAGAAGAUUGAAGAAUAAAGCUGUUGAGAUAUUGUUAGACCUGUUAUGCAGUUUAGGAAAACUGUUAGUAUUGAUAAGAGAAGGUUAGAGAUGUUAGAGAGGUUAGAAAACACGUGAACAAGGCUUUAACUCAGCUGAUAUAAAGUCUGUAGUUGUGCUCAGUUGAACUUAAUGAGAAAUACAACAAGUCUCUUCUCUAUCUCUGAAAUUCUCUCUGCUCUCUCUGCUUUACUUCUUUUGUCUCUGCUCUACAUUUUUUUUCAAUCUUCCUAUCUUAACAAAACUAUCAAGAAUUAAUGCAUCCAGAAACAUAUAUACCAAGACGCAAAACAACAUAUUUUUCAUGCUCUGUCUGUAACACCAAAGCAAACUUCCUUUAUCACAAAAGGAUCAAAUUCCAGUACUAAUCUAAUCCAUCAUGUAAAGCAUACAAUCUACAAGUGCCUCCCUUAAUUUGUCCAUUGGAUAUAUAUGUCACUUUUUGGUAAUUUGGUAUAGCAGCACCACGUAGUCUUGAAAUAGUAGUGCGGCUAUACCAAAUAUACCAUUUGCCCCUGCAUUUAACAGAAAAGUAAACAAAAUUGACGGUAGAACUAUUUGUCCUAACGAAACUGCAGUUGAAAGACCAUGAGAACGAUUUUGAAAAUUGAGGGACUCAAAUGAAAAUUGGGUCUAAGUUCAAGAACCAAUAAAACGAUUAACCCAUAGAUUUUGGAUCCAGUACCACAUCCCAAAGAGAAAACCACAAGUUUGCAAGCAAGUUUGUCCAUAAUAACACUACGUACAGUAUGGGCAGUGCGCUAGACUCAUCUCACUUUCUCAACCUAUCCUAUAGUUGUCUAAAAGAGUUUCUAAUUUAAUGUACUGAGAUUUACGAAAGAAAUAUCAGAGAAACAAUUUUCAGGCAAUAAAAAAAUGUCUUGGCAAGAAAAUGUACAAUUUGUUACAUAACUUAUUAAAUAUGAACAGUUGAAAGAAAAAAGAAUCUGGAUGAGGGAUUUGCAAAUUCCUAUGGCCCAAUUACCUUUUUUUCUUUGUUGUUUUUUUUUUUUUUUUUUUGGUUCUUUUGAUCCAGUAGCAUAUUCCAAAGAAUGAAAACCACAGGCAUGCAAUGCAAGCUCUUUUCCCACGUUUUCCUCUGUUUUUCUCCUAUCAUGGAAGUGAUUAAAACACACCUCUAAGCUUGUUUUGCGUUUGGUAGCCGAGUGUAAAAGCUCAAUGCAAGAUAGUUUGAGGUAGAAUUUUCUCCUAUUUUAUUAGGACAAUGAUAAUUAAAAAAAAGUGUGAUUCAUUGAAUAUUUGCGGGGUUUUGUUCAGACCUGACAAAGUUCUAAGUCAACACAUCAAAUUCCUUUUUCCAACAUGCAACAAUUGUAUUUGAUUCCCAAUUUUUUCUGAUAUACAUCACAUCAUGCCACUUGCAUCAAAUGAAUUUAAUUGAGUGAGGCAAUGGGAAGUAAUUAAGCUCUGUAUUCGUGGGUGGAGUGUUACUUCUGGAACCCUAAUAAUUCGUCCCUACAGGACUCUAGAACUCUCAAACUUCUUACAAGGACUACUUAACUCUAUAGCUUAAUGCAUAUAGCAUAUAUAUGCAAACACAAUUAGAAAUUCUACAACAGAAGCAAGAUCAAUCUCACUAUGCCUUCUAAACAAACAAACAAAUAAAACAAGCAUAUUAAUUGCUUUAAUCACUCUACUAACAUCAACACAGCACACUUAGUUUACUAACAGAUGAUAUAGAAAGGAAAAAAAAGGACCAAUAGGGAGAAAAUGGUGAACUAAGGAGAGACUAAUACUUCUGGUCCUUAGAAGGCAUAACAGAAAUAAUAGAGCACACUGCUUGAAUGCAAGUCAGUAUUAGGAGCAAAACAGCUGCAAUGAAAGAAAUAGUUGCCCAAGGUGUAUUGAAAUAAUGUUGCCUCAAAUUUGCCUUCCAUUUGUUCCAAGGCUUUCUGCAGUAGCUAUUAAGGCGCUCAGAAAGAAUAGCAAAGUAGAAGCUUUCACGAUACACUGCAAUUCCUUUUCCGAGGUUGUUAAUCAGAGUGCACACCUCAUUGUAGUCACCAAGCAUAUUUUUGACAAUCCCAUCCUUCAGAAGGAACUCCACAUCCUUUUCGGUGUUCACAAACUCAUCCAUGAGUGAAACAUAAUCACUUAUGUAAUUCUUACGGCAAUGGCACUAUUCAAAGGCAAUGAGGUUACGGAGUGUGAGCUCUGUGUAAUCGUGUAUUUUUAGUUUUGGAAUUUCUAGAAUCCCAUCGUUGAAUUGUGUUAACGCAGCUUUCCUUUCCUAGCCUACACGGAAGUCAACUUCACAAUCUCCUCCUAGCAAUUAGUCUUUCCUGCUGUAAAUCAGAUUUCCUACUGUAAAUCGGAUUGUAUUCAUGUCUAUAUUAUUUCCUACUUUAAGUAGAUAUCUUGUACUAGUAUAAAUAGGGACUUUGUGUAAUCUGUUAAAUACAAGGAAAUAUAUACUCUGCAUGGUAUCAGCCUAACCUAGGGUUCUCUCUCUCUCCCUUAUUCGAUCCUCUUCUCCUUUAGGUCCACCUCAUGGCUUUGUCUGAAUCCACCAUCUCCCUCCCAAGCCCCAACUCUUCUAUUUUAUCAAGCUUAUUGACUCCAACUAUCUUCUUUGGCUCCGCCAACUCAAACCCUUUUUAGUCGGCCAUGACCUCUGGAAAUUUAUCGAUGGCAUUCAUAAACAACCUUCUGCCCACACCUCCACCUCUACCACCGCAACACCCACAACCACCACCACUCUUACCCAAAUCAAUCAUGCCCAUGCUCAGUGGUACCAACAAGACCAACUCAUUGUUAGCUACAUCACCAAUACACUCUCUGAGUCCAUUCUCUUUCUCACUGUUGGUUGCACCUCUGCCCGGGAUCUCUGGGAGUGUCUCCAACGCCACUUCUCUCAAUCCAGUAUGGCCAGUGAAUCUACUCUUCGUUUUAAACUCAUGGAUUUGCAAAAAGGCUCUGAACCCACUUAUGCUUACAUUCGUCAUGCUAAGUCCUUUGCCGAUUCACUGGCUGCCAUCAAUGAACCUGUCUCCCCAAAAGAACUUGUCACUACUGUGCUUUGGGGUUUAAGACCCUAUUGCAACAUCCUCGUCACAGCAAUUCUCAAUUUCCCUCUGCUUCCUAACUUUGCUAAUCUUCGUGCUCGUUUGUUAGCAUUUGACGCACAGACUCCUUGAAUCUCUCCUGAUCAAAACACAGCGCAAAUGGCCACCCAAUCCUCUCCUCACACCACCGGUCAUACUUCCUUCCCUUCUCACCGUGGUGGUGGCUCUUCCAACAACAGGCGUGGUGGCCUCGGUGGCUGGCGCAAUAGCGGCCGGGGUGGCUGGCGCAGCUUCUCAUCUUCCUGGAGCAACCCGUGGAAUGGCUUCCAGCAGCUCCAAUGACCUAAUCAACCAUGGCCUCCUUUUGCUCCAAGUUCUGGAUCUCAAAGCAACUGGCCUUCCUUUCAGCCUCCUUGGGCCUAAUCUGCCGCUUCUAUCAAACACUUUGCCCGGCCCAACUCAGCUCCUGGUGUCUUGGGACCCGCUUGGUGCACUACCUGCAAUACCAAUCACAUACUACUACAAUAUGUCCUCAUCGCUACAAUGGCCCAGAAUCCUUUCUUUGCUAGGGCUCAAUUCAUGUAGCCACCUGACUCUACUUGGUACCCUGACACAAGUACCACUCAUCAUAUGAUUGGUAGUCCUUCUAAUCUCCAAAAUCAAUCCUUCUAAUCUCCAAAAUCAACAGCCAUAUCAGGUUCAUAAUUCUGUAUUUCUUGGUAAUGGAGAUUCUCUCCCUAUCUCUCAUACUAGCUCUCUCUUUUGUCUUCCAUCUCUUCGUACUAAUCUUCUUUUUGUUGCCCAUUUUACUUGUGAUAAUUUAGUUUUCUUUGUCUUUACUCUUGACUUUUAUCAAAUCUAUGACUUAUGUACUGGUUCGUUACUCUUUCAGGGCCCUUCUAAAGAUGGUCUUUACCCACUUUCCAUCUCCUCUCACUCAUCCAUAGUCCCCCAUGCCCUUACCACCGUGCACUCUCCUGCUUGGCAUCAUUGCCUUGGCCAUCCAUUCCAUCGUGUGCUCUCUCAUUUAGCGCCAUCUCUAGGCUUUAAAGUUUCUCAUGCUUUCUGUAAGGAUUGUGCACUUAGCAAAUCCACCAAACUGUCAUUUCUUAGUAAUAAAACCUUUGCCCCAUCUCCCUUUUAUUUAAUUCACUCUGAUGUAUGGAUGUCCUCGGUCAUUUCUGUCACUGGUUAUCGCUAUUAUGUCUUGUUUACAGAUGACUUUUCUCGUUACUCCUGGAUCUAUCAUAUGCACCGUAAAAAUGAGGUCUUUUCUCACUUUCAAACCUUUCUUGCUAUGGUUAAAAAUCAAUUUCACACCACUGUACAAAUUCUUUAAAGUGACAAUGGCACUGAAUAUGUUAAUAAUGCUUUCUCUGAUCUUUGCAGUCAACUAGGCAUCCACCAACGUUUCACAUGUCCCCACACUCCCCAACAAAAUGGCCUAGCUGAACAUAAACACAGACACAUUGCCACCAUGAUCUGUCCCCGGUCAUUUAUUCAACCAUCUUGACCUUUUGCUUGAUCAUUUUCCACAAGCAACCGUCCACGUACCCCAAUAAUUUAAAAGGGCUGAUGAUCUUUAAUUUGGUGAAAGCUUCUAUCUACCUACCGUGCUAUAUAUGAGCUAUGCAAUCGUGACCGUGUUACAUGACGUCCCAAUGUCGUAGGGAUAAAAAAAUAAUAGUCAUGGUUUUCUUAUUAAUGUCAAUACAUUCAUAGCAAAGAGCUUGUAGCUCUAGUGGUUAAGAGCAAUUACCCAUGCACUUGAGAUAUUUUGUGUUUAAAUCCCCUCUUCCCCAAUAUUUCUUGUAUAAAAAUAAAAAUAACAAUAAUAAUGACAUUAAUGUUGUAUUCUAUAAAGUGUUGGACAUGUUUUAUACCCCUUUCUUGCAAAUUACAGUUUGCCACGUGUACAAAAAUAAUAGAUAAGUGUUGGACAUCAAGAGCACUUACAUAUAGGUUUAAUAGGUAAGUUUUGAAUAUUUCUGUAUUUAGCUUUAAAUAUUGAAAAUCAACCUAUUAGCAUAUUAAAGAUUUGUCCAUAUUCGACGUACAUUCUCUUAUUUUUCUCUCAUUGAAGUAAAUACAAAACUAAGCACAUAGUGGGAAAGUGCGUCACGAUUAGGGGUGGGUUUAGUCUAGGUUGGUUCAUUUUUGGGCUCAAUUUGAACACCGAACUGUAAGCUUCGGUUUGGCUAUUUUGGAAACCGAAACCAAACCAUAAUUGAUGAAAACCGACCACUUCGAUUACCUUCUGGUCUUCCAACCAGAAGAAAACUCAAAACUUUAACCAUACCAAGUGCAACAGAAUUACACCAGGCUGGAUUCAAGUUUAUGAUGGUUAAAGAUAAAAACUUAUUUGACAUACAAUUUGAGAAUGGAAUCCUCAAAAUUCCACACCUGCGAAUACGGGGUUUAACAGAAAUUUUCUUCCGCAAUCUUAUUGCCUAUGAGCAGUGUGAGCUUCAUGAUCAUUACAUCAACGACUAUGUCUUCAUCAUGGACCGCCUGGUCGACAGUGCCAGGGAUGUGGAAUUGCUUGUGAAGAGUGGAAUUCUUGAAUCUAUGCUACCGGACAGCGAGGCAGCAGGGGAAUUUAUUAAUUCUCUUGACUUGGGGCCUAUUUUAGGCAAGCUUGAAACAAGACUAUUUCAGUUCACCAUGGGCUGGCCUGUCUAUUAUUGUAGCCGCUAUACUAGUUGUGCUCACAUUUAUUCAAACAGUGUGCUCCGUAAUGGCGCUGUAGGUUCUUCAUUUCCUCAAUUUCAUGUUUAGUGGUUGCAGAUUUGUUGCUCAUGUACGUGUUUAUCUAAAGUUAAAUAAGAGUGAUUGACUGGAUUGACUGUUAGUCUGUUAGUUUGUUUUUCUGGGGUUUUUCCCCCCUGUUCGUCAAAAAAAAAAAUAAAAGAGUGAUGGCUUGUGCCUAUGAAAAUUACUUAGGAGUAUGCUCCACAGAGCCAAAAUAAAUAAACUAGGGAAGUGGAGGUUCUUCUGUUUGUAUAUAAAUGAGCAAUUCAAACUCUCAGUGCCAAGGGAGUUACCCUUGAUACAUUUGUUAAAAAUUAUAUAUUUGGUCUUACAUCAAACAAAUAAUUUGAAGGGCUUUUUUGACAACUGCUGACAGCGUUUGGCAGAAAAGUUUAGAAGCGCUUCUACGCUUCUAGAUCAUAAAAGUGCUUUACCAAAAAGCACUUAGAUUUCUUAUGAAAAUUUCAACAUUUUUAUAAUAAAAGCGCUUGCUAGAAGCACUUAUAAGCAGAAGUGCUUCAUAGAGAAGCAGUCCCAAACGAGCUUGAUUUUCAAAUGUGCUGCUUAAGAAGAAAUUUAAUACGUUUUGAAAACAAAAAAAAAUACGAAAUUUAAUACGUUUGUUUUACAAAUUGUAUUAAUUGUUAUCAAUAAUACUUGUGCACACCCACAACAUACUUCUUUCUUUCUUUAUUUUCCUUCAGUACAGUUCUGCCUUUCUUUAAUUAUUUUUAACGAAUGCAAAGAGUUUGUCACAAAAUCAAGGAUUGAAAAAAAAAGAGAGUAAAUUAUGUGCUAGAGAAACUUUCCUGCAGAAAUUGAAGAACAACUCUAGUUUCUCUCUUUCGCCUUGUACUCCCGCACUGAGGUUAGUAUUGUUAUAAUGUGCAGAUUAUACGGUCACUCUUGUAUAAUGGCGAGAAGGCUCUAAUUAUAUUUUUGAACCUCUUUGACAGGACCCGCCCCGAAUUUCCCGAAACCCAAGACGAAUUCUGUGGAAAUUCCCUACAUCACCCCGAUGUUGGGCCCACUUCUAAAACUAUAUCAUUUUUCCUAAAAAGGAAUAAGGGCACGAGACUUUCUACCGAAAUUUCGGCAGAGUCUCUCCUGUAAAUUGAACAUUUCCCAAAAUUUCAACCUGCAUAAAACACAUUUUAUAUUACCCAACUGGCAGCAUGCACAAAAUAAUAACAUGCAAUUCACAUAAACGGCCUCUGGCCCUCCGGUAAUUCAGAGCAAUGCAAACUAGCAACUCUAAACCUAAUAAAACAACAUAAGUAACAUUUAGCCAGCGGCUGCACCCAGGCACUACCCUAGGCUACCUACGUACCCUUACUAAGGGAUCAAGCCACACGUAGUUCUUUCAUACAAAAUUUCCAAAUCCAUCAACAUGCAAUCAAUUACAGAAUCCCAAACAAAAUCUUUCUCAAACAUCAUUAGUUCCCAACUCAGUAUAAUAAUCCUUAAUUCAUCUCUGUAAUAAUCACAAUAUCUCCCCAUACGCCGGAACUACCAACACCACGUAUGGAGCCUGCCUGUACGCCAGAUAACCAACGACACGUGGGACCUCAUCAUCAUAUCACAUAAUCUCCCCAUACGCCGAAACUACCAACACCACGUAUGGGGUCUGUCAACACGCCGGAUAACCUACGACGUGUGACCUCAACAUCAAAUCACAAUAUCUCCCCAUACACCGGAACUACCUACGCCACGUAUGGGGUCUGUCCACAUGCCGGAUAACCUACGACACGUGGGACCUCAUCAUCAUAUCACAUAAUAUAUUAACGAUCAAGAAAUAUCACUACGGUCAUUUAAUCCUCCUGGGAAGGUAAAACUAUCUCAGGAGACUCACGGUCAACCAAGGGUCAAACUACCUCAUACUUGGACAAACGAGCCCACGGAGCCCACAACCUCCGUUUUACUAUCCAAGAGUUCCUAUAGGUUCUACAAGGUUUAGGAUACACGGCUUGCAAGUUUGGUCAAGAUCAGACGGUCGGAUCGCUCACGAUAGGACGGUUACUGCAAACCUAGCCCUAGGGUUGGCAUUUUCGGAGUAUCCGAAACUCCGUUUUACGAUCUGUCGAAUCAUAGACGAUCCUAAGGAUUUGCAGACUAACUAUAAUAAAUUCAAGACCAUCCAACGGUCUAAACCUAUCGAACCCGGAUAACGCGCAAUAGGCAAUAUCCAAAUUGAAAUCCGAGCACACCUACGCACUCGUGAGGACUAGGAGAUUACAUCGGGACAUAGUGCCCUUUUUCUACAGUGCCCAUGAGCCGCCGCACGCACCAGCAACGCGUGGGUGCCCAAAGCGAUUAUGCAUCGCCAAAAAAUCUCAAAACCACGGCUCAAGACUCCUACCCUAGGUAUAACACCCUAUUUGGAACCACUUUUGUUCUUGGACCUACCCCAAAAACUGAUCAGAAGUGGCCGGAAUGGCUGAAAUGUAAUUCAAAAAUCAAGCUACCAACGCUCAAAAUCGAUGCAAUCCUACCCAACCAUCAACUAGAUUAUGAAGAAUGGAUAAAUUUCCAUACCUUGAUCGCCAACAAUGGCGGCCGGAGGAGAGAGAUCUGAUCCGGCGAAGUUCGAGUGAAAACGGCCAAAAAUCAUCUUUUUCAGGCGGCUGGAGGGCGACCGAUGUCAGGGAAGGGCAGGGUCGUGACGCUAAGGCUGAGCCUGUCCUUUUGGCACCGGUCCCUUCCGCAGCCGUGUCCGGUGGCUGGAGUUUCGAAGAGAGAGAGAGAGAGAGAGAGAGAGAGAGAGAGAGAAAUCUGAUUUUUAUCAAACCUUUUUGCCAAAAUUACGGUUAUGCCACUGAGGGUAUUUUGAUAGUAUCUCUCUCGUUACAACUUCGAUUCGAGCCCACCACGUGUGUACGGACUCAUCUAACUGUGUUGUACGCAACGGUAUAGUCGAAAUUCCCAAAUUAUUUCCUUGUCAAAAAGUCAACUUUAAACAUUAUAAAAUAUUUUAGGGAAAAAAUGGUAUUUUCUCUCAAUAAAUUAGUAACUAAUUUAUUUAGGACUGGGUCAUUAUACUCUUUUUCGCUUCAAUGGAUGGGAAAAAAUUUUAUGUAAUAUCCCACAUCGACCAACGAAGAGGGGGCGAUGUGUCUUAUAUGUACAUGCCCGCCUCCAUCUAGCAUAAGGCCUUUUGGAAGCUCACUGGCUUCAGAGUCAUGGGAACUCCGAAGUUAAGCGAGUUGGGGGCUAGAGCAAUCCCAGGAUGAGUAACCCACUGGGAAGUUGCUCGUGAGCUUCGAGAAACAAAACCGUGAGGGCAGAGAGAGGGGCCCAAAGCGGACAAUAAGGCCUCGUGCUAGAUGGAGGCGGGCAUGUACAUAUAAGGCACAUCACUCUCUCUCCGUUGGUCGAUGUGGAAUGUUAGAAUGGAAUUGUUACCUUUGGUGUGGAGGUGUUCUAUCAUUUGAGCAAGAAAUUCCCACAUAUUCUUCAACUAUUUUUCAAGCAUGCAUAUUCCUCCCUAUCAAUCUUUGGUUUCUUCCUUUACUGUGCAUAGUAAGGAUCCAGUCAGGGACGGACCGUCGCUAUGACUAUCCUGGGCUAUAGCCCAGGCAAAUUAUUUUUUUUUCUAGUCUAAAAUAGCAAUCCCACCGCUUGCUGUAGUACUUGUUCAGUUCGUCACAAACAUGAGCAUAAUAGAAGUUAUCAACAUCUAUAUAGGAACCCCAAUGAAAAGGCUGUUAACUAAUAAUGAAGUUAACCCGUCAAUUUUUCCGCAUAUCAGAUAUCUCUCAGAAUAUGCGAUUCCAUAUUCAAUAAGCCACUCCACAUGCCCUGAGGUUUUCAUCAAACCACCCAUUAAGGAAACAUACUGACUCAUGUAAUUAUCAUUACUCAUCGGGUAAUGCAAUUGUUCAAAGGCAAGGACAUUUCUCAUUAUUUAUGUAGCGAACCCCAAUGGAAAUGGUGGGAUCUUCAGAACCCCAUCGGUGCUACUGAAUUGUAUGUCAAAUAUGUUUUCACCUUGUCACGCCUCAAACUUGACUCCAGCGUGCUGUAAUUCUGUCAAGCUGGGUAUGGAUGAUGGGAGUUUGAUGCAGGAGCAUAGGGGUGGAUCAAGAUAGAUAUUUACUAUUUAAUUAGUUAUUUCAUGAUAUAUUGUUAUUUUCUUAUUUAGGUAGUUUUAUGAUAUCUUUUAUUAUUUAUGUGUGAUUUUAUAAUUAAUUAGUAUACUUUUGGACCAAGUAGCCUUGGUGCUCAAGUCUUGUAAAGCCUAUAAAUAAGGCUAAUGUAAUAGUUGUAGAAUAGAUGUCGAUGAUUAAUAAAAUCGUUUAUUUGUGGCAUGGAUUUGCUACGAUAUAUGUGAGUUUGCACUAGCCCUAGAUUUCAGUGCUCGUGUAUGUGGUUGGUGACCUGUGUCCGGAUCCCGAUCCCCAUCAAUUGGUAUCAGAGCUAUGGCUCAAGAUCUGCUAUAUCGGGGAGGUUUUUGGAUGGAGGGUCGUUUUAACAACUACAACGACAUGGAGGAAAUUAGGAGGAUGCUACGGCAACUUAUGGAACACAUUGCUCGCAUUGAAGCUCGAACCCAGAUAGGUAAGAGUUCUGACGGGGAGGGAUGUGUGAACCCUUAUCUGAACCGAGUAGCUCGCAUCGACACUCUAAGCCGUGAGAGUCUCGACGGGGAGUACGAGGGAGAUAGCCCUUUUCAUUAUUGUGCUCCGCUGUGUGAGUCAAGUGAAGAGGGGCACGGUUAUUCUCAUUGUGUCUUUGAAGGUAUAAAUGAAUUUAGUAAUUUUGGUGCAUCUUGUUAUUCAUCAAAGUUAUUAAAUUUGGAUUUACCUCCAUUAUUUGAUCCUUGCAAUUGUGAAAAUUGCAAUAAAAAUUGUUUGGGUGUUCAAAGCAAUUUUGAUAAGCAAUUUAUUGACCAGAACAGUGAAGAGAUGAGAAUUGAGAAAACUUUCGAAGAUAUUAUUGAUUUUAUGGGCAUUAAUAUUUUCACUUGGAAGGUUGCCAAAAAUCUGGUUGAUUUUGUCAAUCGGUUGAAGAUUCUAGAGAGAAACAUUUGCAUUGCUAGAGGGAGUAAGAAGUCAAGAAUAACGAAAUAUUCCAAAUAUCUUUUUAUUUGGAAAGGAAGGUUUCAAUUGGAUGCUAAAAGAUCCAAAAUUAAUAUGCAGCAAUUGAAGAUUCUACUCGGAUUUUCCUUAAUCAAAGGCUUGAAUUCGAGGACGAAUUCUUUCCAACUAUGGGAGUCUGAUGCAGGAGCAUAGGGGUGGAUCAAGAUAGAUAUUUACUAUUUAAUUUGUUAUUUCAUGAUAUAUUGUUAUUUUCUUAUUUAGGUAGUUUUAUGAUAUCUUUUAUUAUUUAUGUGUGAUUUUAUAAUUAAUUAGUUUACUUUUGGACCAAGUAGCCUUGGUGCUCAAGUCUUGUAAAGCCUAUAAAUAAGGCUAAUGUAAUAGUUGUAGAAUAGAUGUCGAUGAUUAAUAAAAUCGUUUAUUUGUGGCAUGGAUUUGCUACAAUAUAUGUGAGUUUGCACUAACCCUUGAUUUCGGUGCUCGUGUAUGUGGUUGGUGACCUGUGUCCGGAUCCCGAUCCCCAUCAGAGUUCCCCUCCAGCUUUUGAUUCCAACGGUUGAUAGAGUUUAAAUAUUUUCCUGAAAAGAUCAAUAAUAUGUGCCACUGAUCUAAAAGUCUCCAAAUUGUCUUCCAAUUUGUCAACAGGCAAUAGAUGUUCGAAGAAACUGAAAGAAAUACAAAUUAUUGAAAGCCCCUCAGUAAUGCUGUUAUUGUCAGCAUUAGCAGGGAGUGUAAUUUUCUGUGGGUCGAAAAGAUCCUCGAGAAUGAAGAAUGGCAACUGAUUUUCAAGCAACCACGUAUCUGUCCAUGCAUCUUGCAACAUACCUGGUUUGUCAAAUAUGCGGUCAUUUUCGUCCCAAAAUUUGAAGUAGUCCUUCAAUAAGGGCUCAAUAACGAAGGCGGCGCCCACUAGAAUGAUUGUUACAAAUUCAUCACUGCUAAACUUGAUGGGUUCUCCAUAACAACGUCUCAAUCUUGCUUCGUGGUCCUUUAUUUUCUUAAUAUAAUCCUCCAAACUCACAUUGGUCCGACCUAUAAAAUCUUGCAGGUAUCUCUGUUUGUUCUCUUCCAAUACGACAUUCAAGCCUUCCUUUCCAUGGUGAAGUGGACCUAUAGAGACCGACUGCCUGAGGUGUGCAGAGCUUUUCAUUCACACAUACGUAGAUAAAAUGUCUGGGGGCUCAGAGAGUGAUGAAUGUGCAACAGCUAAUGGGAGGGUUUAUAUUCCUGAAGUAAGAAAUGAGGAAACACCAGCAGUUGGGAUGAAGUUUGACUCGCUUGACCUCGUUUACAAUUUCUAUAAUAGAUAUGCAUUCUUGGCUGGCUUUGGUAUUCGACUUCAUUCUAGCUUUUGGGGGAAAAAUAAGAAAGAGAUUUUGAGGAAAGAAUUUGUAUGUUGCAAACAAGGUGCAUACAAGAAGGAUGAAACUCGGGAGAGAAAAAGACAACGGGGAAUAAGUAGAUGCAAUUGCAAAGCAAAGAUUGUGGUUGUGAAGACAAAUGGGAGCAAGAAGUAUACCAUUUCUCUUUUUGCAGAGGGACACAAUCAUAAGAUGACACCCUCAGAAAGAAUGCAUUUAUUGAGAUCACACCGUCAUAUUUCAGAUUCUACAAAAGUACUCACAAAACAGUUGGGUUCAGUUAAUAUUCCCAUUCAUCAGAAGGUAAGUAUAUUCGAGGUGCAAUCCGGAGGAAUGGAUAAAAUCGGUUUUAUCAAAAAAGAUAUCUACAAUCUUGAAUGUAGUGUGAAUGGGAAGCUGAGGAACCACGAUGUUGAACUAGUGACCGAGUAUUUUAUGGCUGAACAGAAAAAAAAUGAGGCUUUUUAUUUCAAGAUUGAGGGAGAUGGGCAUGACAGGUUUAGUCGAUGUUUUUGGGCAGAUGCAACUUCUAGACGGGCGUAUGGGUUUUAUGGAGAUGUUGUUGUAUUCGAUACCACAUUCAACACGAAUCGAUACGACUUGACAUUUGCACCAAUGUUGGGAGUUAAUAACCAUGGUCAGACAAUUGUCUUAGCAUGCGCAUUUUUGAGCAAGGAAACGACUGAGUCGUUUGUUUGGAUGUUUGAGGAGUUUAAGAAAGCCAUGCCAGGUGGGGAACCUAAAACGAUCAUUACAGAUCAAGAUGCGGCAAUGGCCAUAGCGAUUUCAAUAGCCUUCCCGAGUACAUUUCAUCGACUUUGCAUAUGGCACAUCACAUCAAAGUUCUCUGUUAAGUUACCACGUGACGCUUAUAAGGAGUAUUGGCCUGAAUUUCAGAAAGCCAUAUGGGAUACUGACAAUAAGGAUGAGUUUGAUGCAAAAUGGAAUAUUGUGGUUAUAAAGGCUGGUUUGACUGACCAUCCAUGGCUAAGUUCAAUGUUUGAUUUAAGGGAAUCUUGGGUUCCAGCCUACGCACGACAAUUUUUUGCCGCUGGAAUGUCAAGCAGCCAAAGAGCGGAAGGUUCUCAUGGUUUUUUCAAGCAAUACAUAUCAAGGAGAAAUUCGUUGAUGGAUUUCAUAAUACGAUUUGAGAGGGCAUUUUCUCAUCAACGUGAAAAAGAGUUAGUUGCUGAUCACGUAGAUGCAUUUGAAGUGGCUCAAUGUCUUCUACCGAUGCCAAUGAACAAACAAAUGGCUACCUUGUACACAAGGACAAUGUUUCAAAAGUUUGAGCAAGAACUAAUACAAAGUACAGCAUGUUUCCUAGAGCUCAAAACAGAGGAUGCAUGUAAAGUUGUGUUCAACGUGAGCGAAAGGAAAAAUUGGGAAACAAGAGUGGCAGAAGUCGUAUAUGUCAAAGAUUCUGACCACGCAUCGUGUAGCUGCAAAAGAUUUGAAUUUGUUGGAAUUAUUUGCAAGCACAUCCUAGCAUUGUUCAGAAGGGACCAGAUUGAAUAUAUGCCCGAUAAAUAUAUUUUGAAGAGGUGGAAGAAAACUGCGAAAUGUGGAUUGGUGUCAGAUGCAAAUGGCAACGAAAUUAAAGACUGUGCAGAUCCUGGCCUUCUAAUAAAGCGGAGUACAAUGUCUCGACUUGCUUCAAAUGUGGUUGAGGAUGCAUUAAUGAGUGAAGAAGGAUGUGAGCUACUGUCAGAGACUCUAAAAAGUUUGCAGGUGAAGUUGAAGUUGCUGAAGGAUGGACCAAGUAAUAACGAAGUUGGAGGGUCCAGCUCUCAAACACAAUAUAUGAAAGACCCUAAGAGAGUGAGGUGCAAAGGAAGGUCGAAAGGAAUAACGGGAGCAAAGGAAAAGGCAAUGAAGCGAGGGAUUAGACACUGUCGGGAGUGUGGACACAUUGGUCAUGAUAGAAGACAAUGCCCAGCCUUGAACACACCGUAAGAUGCUACCACUAUUUGUAAUAAUAUCUAAAAUAUGAAAAGGUAAAAUUUUUAUGUGCUUGUGUUUGAUGUUUAUGCAGGACAUCACCGUCGAACAAUGACAAAUCAACUCCAAUACAUCGUAGUGACCCAUUAUUCGACGAUUUUGACAAGAUGCACAGACCAACUGAAUGAUUGAUAUUUGUAUUAGACGAAAUGUGGUUGUUAUGAAGAUUAAUGAUCAAGUGAAGUUUUAUAGAUUCAGUUUUUGAAUGUUAUUGUGUUUUUGUUCAUGUCCACCGAUGAGCUCUUACUAUGUCCACUGGUAAUUGAAAUGAAAAUUUUCUUGGUUUCAUUCUUCCAAGACAUUUGGAGACAUGUUAAUUUUACGUCUUCUCCCUAUUUAUAAAUUUUCAUAGACAUUUGAUCAAGUUUGAAAUUUGUAGUUAUGUGAAGAAGCAAUGACUCUUACCAUGUAAAAUGGGCAGUUUAGGGUGAAAUUUGUUUUAACAGAGAUUCAUUUUUCAAUUCCUCAGGGUAAUGCAGCAAUUACAGCAGCCAGCUGUUGUUUCCAUUACCAGUAAUCAUUUCCAGCAGCAGCCACUUUUUCCGACUGGUUAUUAGGGGCACGAUUUUGUACACUUUUGUAAGUGAAGGAUACUCGAAGCACUUUGUUGGAACAGAGCAAAUAGAAACCAGCGGGUAAAAAAAAAACAUAACAUUGCAGCUAAUUACAUUUCGAUACAUAGGUGAAAAAUAUUAAAGGGUACACUAACUUACAUAAAUACUCAUAAUUCCACACACAAAAGAACAUUUGAUUGCAAAACAUAUUAUGUGCUUCCUCAUAGCAAUACCACGAUCUCCCCAACCAACUGAACAACGGUAGCCACAAUCACUGGGUCGUACUCGUCAGCUUCUUCUUAGCAGGUCUCACAUGCUUAUGGCCACUCAUAUCCCUAGUGAUAUACACGAAAUAAAUCUUCAGCAAUAUUUGGAAUUUUAUUAUAUAUAAAUAAACCAUAAACCAUUCAGUAAACAAUGUAUAGCACAUGUUAUGUAACUUAUGACUCACGUGUCAGUUUUUUUUUUAACACAUUAGUACUCCAGCUCUUUAAUGUAAAUGGACAUGAUAAGGAGCAUUUACUGAUUCCCGGCUUUCUAUGAUAUUGACUGCUUCUUGAAUAAUAUUUCCAUAUUUGCAAAAUAUAAUGUUAGACAUUAUAACACAUGAUGACUUGCAAUACAUAGUCCCAAUAAUUAUAUAUCAAGCAAAUGAAACUGAUAUUUGUGUUAUUUUAAGUUAGAUAAUGACAUUAAGGGAGUAUAUGUGCAAUACCACGGUCACCCUCAACCAACUGAACAGCGGUAGCCGCAAUCACUUAGUCGUAUCGGUCGGCUUCUUCCGAGCAGCUUUGACGUGCUUAUGCUCAUUCAUGUCACCCCCAUCGUCUAGUAUCUCUCUCACAGCAUCAGGGGACACAUAGUUCCAAUCAUAACUUGUAUGAGUAGUUGCCGCAAAUGCUCGGAAUUUGUCGAAUCCUUCGUUGAAUGCCAACUCCAGUUCAGUAUGGUGCUCUUCGCAUCGCAUAUGGUUCAUCAAACAACCUUUGAUUUCAUCAUUCAUUACUGUAUCCAACUCCUCAGCUUUCAGCUUCCUGCUAUGACUCAGCUUCAAGUACUUGUUCUUUUGGGAUAACGCUUUGUUCACCCUAAUGUUAAGAUCAGCCAAAAUUGCCUCGUCUUCAACACAUUUCUCGUGCCAUGAAUUGAUCAGUCUGGAAUUAUAAUCCAGCUUGCCACUGACUGCAUGUAUUGCCUGUAAUGGAUCAUCGGAGUCCCCCUCACUCCCAAAUGAUGUUGAAAAAGGAAGGGGUCGGCGAGUACAAUGUGGAAAUAGAACCUGCCACUCCAAUUUGUCAUCUUCGAUUGUGUUGUUGGCGCCUGAAGAGGUUGACAUGCUUGAAUAAUCCUCUUUGUUUUGGGAGGAUGAGGAUUGCAUAUGCAAUUUCGUUUGAGAAAGGGAACAUAGGUUUAUAGACCAACAUACCAAAGCUUGUGUGUAGUCAACAUAUGUACUUUUUGGCGGGAAUUUUUUAAAAAUAGGUGUUAGGUUUUGCUUUUCAAGCAUGUCAACCUCACACUCUCCUGACACCACUGCUAGUGGUUGAAACAAAGUCAAUGGAAGUGACAUCUACUUAGUUAACUCAACCAAACUAGUUAGGAUUAAACUUAGAUUGUAUCAGACCAAAAAAUAAUUUCUACUUUGUCAACCAAAUAUUUUUUGGCGGGAACCCUUUUCUUGGUAUUACUAUCACCCCUUUCAUAUAAAAUCUCCUUCCACACAAAACUCACUCCUCCACCGAAUCUGUCUCCAUCUACCGAUACUCUCUCAAGCAAACAAACUCAUUCCCCCCAAAGAAUGAGCAUAAGCACAACCAAGUUUGAUGUGAGCAUAAUAAACACCCCUCCAAACAAAGACCGGCUUCGACACGCAAGUGAGUCACCGGACAAGCAAUGUCACAUUGCUAGACAGAAUGACCAUUUUGUUGGAAGUUUUGAGUCUGAAAGAGUUGUUGCUUUUUGGAAGGAGAGGCAUCUUCAACUUGGUGAUGAAAUCCAAAGGGCAAGGGCACGUUUGGAAUUUGUGGAAGGCCAAAUUGAAGAUGACAAAAGGCAGGCCAAUCUGGAUAGGGCGAAGUUGUAGCGCAUGAAGCGUAGACACAAACGACUUCGGAGUGUAGCUGUUCAAAAAUACAAGAACUCAUCUAAUGUAGUGGAGUCAAAGAAGCGUGUGAUGCAAGCUGGAUUCGACUACUUCCGAUCCUAUGCAAAACUCGUCGUACCCGGGUUUGAUUGGUCAUCUAUUACCGUUUCCGACGUCACCAAAUAUACUCAGCAAGGGAAGUAACCAUUUUGGUUCUCGUGUUUUAGCAGAGGCAAAUAAGUGGAAUUGGAAUUUUGGUUACACUCUGCUUCAAAGCUAUUUUGAUGCUAACUACUAUGGAAGAUUUAAACCUUAAUAUUUUGAUGUCUUUAAUUACGAAAACAGAAGAUGCAAAGAGCUCAUCUACUUCAGCCAUAUGUUGCUGCCAUGUCCAUUUGUUUUUGAUCACUUAUCAGAUUUGGACAUGGUUGCAUCAUAUGCAAUGUUGCCUUUAUUUAUUAUAUGUUAGGACAAGGUUUAUGGAAAAGCUUUUGUGAGUGCGUUUGUGACAAGGUUAUGGAAUUAUUAUGUACACUUUAUAUAUUGUUUUUUGUACUGGUUCAUUUCCUACUAUUUCUUGCUUUCUUUAUAUUUUAUGUUUGUGGAAUCCCUCUCAAAGUUAACAUAUACUGUGAAAAAAAUAUUAUGCAACUGAUUAUAUAAUCACUCAUAUAGACUAGGACAAAUAUUCACUAAGGGUUUUAAACUUGCUUCACUUGUGUGAUGUUAUUGACAAAAAGUAUGGCAUUAUUUAUGUGAUUUGACAUGAUUGAAAAUAUAUUACUGAUUCCCAAUGCGGCGUCAUAUGGACAACGUAUUGAAUACCUGUGACGUGUUAAUAACUCAAGGUGCAGUUGCAUGUGGACAACUUCUUGAAUACCUCUGACGUGUUGAAAACUCUAGGUGCAGUUGCAUGUGGACAACUUAUUGAAUACGAACUGACGUCUUCAAAGCUCUAGGCGUAGUUGCAAUGAUGGCUUCAAAGCAUGUGCAAUUAUUUUUUAUGUACAUUAUUAUAACAAAACAUAUUAUUGUAUAUAGUGAAACUAAAUAUUGUAUUAUUAGAAAUUAUAUUUCGAAUAUUAUCCGAAAUAUACGUGUUAACGUGAAUUUGGGUUAAGAGGAAAGUGAGUUAUGUACAAAUAAUUUUCAUUUUCUCAUUUUCCGGGCAUUUUUUGGAUUUUCGUAGAAUUUAUUACCUAUGUCCACAGAUUGUUGCACUAAAAAAGCCAAAAUAAUAGCAAGAGGACACCUGGAGCGAUCUCAGCCCGUCACUGAUGACUACUUGCACAAGUGUACGUCAGUCAACAUGGCCACACCCUCCCAUUUUACCCUAAAUUAUUAUUUUAUUACUUUUCCUUACAAAAAUCAGAACUAAUUACACACAAAAUAAAAAAAUUAUCCGAAAAUUGCUACGAACUCAUUGACACUCCAUCUCCGUUGCUGAAUUCUCCGAUUCAUUGUUACGUAUUUGUAAAAUUAAUUCCCAACAUUAACGGGAGAUGCUUGUUGAAGUAGGUUAUUCAAGUUGAAGUUAACAAACAUCAAUACUUAGGGUUAAGAGGAAAGUGAGUUAUGUAACACAAUUUGGAUUAUUUCAUUGCGAGACGAAUGAUUUAUAGGUUCUCCUAGUUUUAUGACGUCACAAGUAGGCCGGAGUAAUUUUUGGGGCAUUUUUACGAUUUUCCUACUAUUUUUUACCUAGUUUCAAAGAUUUUUGAACAAAAGAAUCCAAAAUGUAAAAGAAGAUGACACCUGGCGCGAUCUCAGCCCGUCACUUUUCACUACUUGCACAAGUGUACGUCAGUCAACAUGGCCACAUCCUCUCAUUUUACCCUAAAUUAUUAUUUUAUUACGUUUUGUCUUGGAAAAUUCAUAACUAAAUACACAAAAAUUCAAAAUUAUUUCUGAAAAUUGCUACGAACUCAUUGACACUCCAUCUCCGUUGCUGAAUUCUCCGAUUCAUUGUUACGCAUUUUUAAAAUUAAUUCCCAACAUUAACGGGAGAUGCUUGUUGAAGUAGGUUAUUCAAGUUGAAGUUAACAAACAUCAAUACUUAGGGUUAAGAGGAAAGUGAGUUAUGUAACACAAUUUGGAUUAUUUCAUUGUGAGACGAAUGAUUUAUAGGUUCUCCUAGUUUUAUGACGUCACAAGUAGGCCGGAGUAAUUUUUGGGCCAUUUUUACGAUUUUCCUACUAUUUAUUACCUAGUUUCAAAGAUUUUUGAACAAAAGAAUCCAAAAUUAACAAGAAUAUGACACCUGGCGCGAUCUCAGCCAGUCACUUUUGACUACUUGCACAAGUGUACGUUACCGAACAUGGCCACAUCCUCCCAUUUUACCCUAAAUUAUUAUUUUAUUACCUUUUUUCUUGGAAAAUUCAUAACUAAAUACACAAAAAUUAGAAAAACGAUCCGAAAAUUUCUACGAACUUAUUGCGAUUUCAUCUUCCUACUGCAUUCCCUGUUUAAUGGUUAUGCUACAUUAGUAUUUUAUUAUUAUUUAUCCACAAUUAUUAUAAUUAUUAUGAUAUUACUUUUUAGGCUGUCCAUUUGUUAAUUAUACCACAUCCAACUUGUUGAAAACAAUUUUAUUUUCCGUGCGAAUAGGCCAUUUGUAGUGCUUAUCGGUUUCUCUGUUCUUCAAUUUGUUAAUUUUUUUAUUUUUUAGGUUGAAGGGAUGUUUUGAAACAUAAUAUGGAAAUAUACAAGUCAUCCAUUGUACUCCUUCCACACAAAAAAAUAGUCUACGUCAUUCACUGUUCAACACCCUAGGUUAAGACACGUGUAACCAAAUCCGUUCGGAUAUGCUAAGUGGGAAAAUGUCAUUCCCAAGCACUGGUGAAAAGACACUUAUUUACUCCAUGCAUGACUUUUGGUUUACCAAAUAUGAAGAUUGGGGUCGGUGAGCAAAAUAUCUGUGUCAGUAAAAUGUCAUUCCUAGCCAUCUAUGAUGUAAGUAAUAAUUCCGCUAUAUAAUAAAUAUUAUACAUUUAUAUAUAAAACGGUUUAUGACAAAAUACCAACAUUUGAACAACAUUUAAACUGAGAUAGGUAUAACGUAGCCAGCCAACCUAGAAGUGAAGAGAAGCAAGUCCACAAUGCAUCAAAACUGUAAAUUCGUACUAAAACUAAUGCAAAAAUACGUGAUUCCCUCGCACAACUUACUCACGCAGGAUUUUGCACCAAAAAAUACUCUCACGGUGCCAUUUGCAUCGGUUGCAGCAAGUCCAAAACGCAGGAUUUAUCUUGUCUUCACUAGGCCACCCUGGAAUAACAAAAUACCAUUCAUUGUUGUUACAAGCGCUGCACCGAUUGAACUUAAUCUUCCCAUAGUCAAACAUAUCUACGAUAUGUCUUGCAACAAAUGCUCCGCGACAUCUUCCUGUUAAAGCAUCCCUGGUUCCUUUCAUAUCAAUGUUGUUACGUUGAUUCAAAGAACACAAGAAUUGUAAUGCAUCCUCUUUUGACUGACCAAUUCCGGACAUACCAAGUAGUCCAACUACAUAUGCCGCUUCCAUAUGGCCUGCCGUGGCUGCAAUGCGCAUCCCAUACAACGCUUCCACCUUACCGUCUGUGAAAAAACCUUCGAAUGCUUCUCUAAAUAUGGACUCAGGGUUAUCGCAAGCCCUGCAUUGUUGCAAGAAAUGCUGGACUGCAGGUUUGGCACGGUAGCAGAUAGGAUGGUGUGGGUACUUUGCCAUUGAAAUGGUGUUCCACACUUGUGGACUGUUUGCCAAAAUGUUGAACAAUCGGCACACACAUGCCAUACGGAAGAGAUCUUCCGAUGAUUCGGUUGCCACGUAUAACAUCACUUGAAACCAAGCGGACUCCGGGAUAAAGGCUUCGGGCAUAUCGAAAUGGAGAUGCUUCCUUCUCUUUCCUCCGACUGUAGUGAAGUGUUUCGAAUUCAUUGAAAAGUUUUUGGAAUGGAACGAUUUGAGGAGUGGCAGAGGGGAUAAAUGAUAAUAUUUGGGGUACACGUUCUACUUCCGAGCCUCUGUUUAUAGUGUUUUGAAAAGGUGUUUCCAGUUGGGGUUUUUCCAAGUUGACCCUUUUGAAAGAAACUGAAUCCAAGUGAAUUAAAACUUAAGACAAAAGAAGGGAAAACGUCAUAACGGUGCAUACAGAGUCAGACAGUUAAAAAGUUAAUUAAAUGGCUAUUUGCAUAGCCAUUUUUGGGUUUAUCCCACUAUCAAAUUCAUUGAUACAAAUGUGAUGGAUUACUGACUAGUGACAGAAGGUCCCAUCAUAUACUUUUUCAUUUUCGCACACCCAACUAUCCCUAGUAAUGUUAUUAAAAUGGAACCAAUAAUGACGGAUUCUUAUCCAACUAGUUGCCUUAAUGAAAUAUAAAUAAAUUAAUAAAAUUGAAGCAGUGUCCCGUCAUUAGUCAGAAAAUAUAUUUGGUAGUGAAGUAGUUUCUAUUGCUUUUCGGGCUAAAAGAUGUCACAAUGCUGACGGUACAGGUGUCGACAUCGUGACCAACCCACCAAAUGAUCCCAAAAAAAAGUAAUAUAACUCGAUUUGGGCAGAGAUGAGAGAGAGCUGAGUGACAAGUUUAGGGUUAUGAGUGAAGGGGUAUGAAUGACAACUAUGAGUGAGAAGGUAUGAGUCCGAAGAGGUUUCAGUGAGAAGAUUUGAGUGAGAAGAGGUACAACUGAGAAGAUUCAACAUGUCUUCGUCUUCAUCUCCUGCUCAAACAAAGAGGUGUCAGUAUUGUGGAGCUACAAUGGUGCUUCGGGUUUCAAAAUCUGAAAAAAAAUCGAGGGAAGCCAUUCUGGAAGUGUCUAACCUCCUAUGUAAGUUUUAAUUUAAAGAAUAUGUAUGUGGGUGAAAAAAAACCUAUGUCUAACUCUGACAGAAUUAUAUUCCAUAUAUGAUGCCUGCAAUUAGGGAGCCACCAGUUGCAAUGGAUUCGAAUGGGUUGAUGUAACCUCCGCUGAAGCAGAACAUCAAGAUGACACGUAUGAUGUUAGAGUGCUGAACAUGCUGAAGUCCAUUAAGGACUUGGUAUUAGUUUUAUUAGUUGUAUUAAUUGUCAUUUUAUUUGUUCUUUUAAUGAUCAUUUAACUGCACGGUUUAAAAGAUUGUGAAAGUUCUCUCGCACAAGACAUAUUGCACGCACCACCAAUGAGACCCUAAACCCAUUUUGUAAUAUUUGGUAACUGCAUGUAUUUCGCAUGUUAUUGAAUGUUUAUUGAAGGUUUAUUGAUAGUUUGCUGCAUGUAUAUGGAAUAUCAUUGCCCCAAAAUUGGAUGUUUAUUGGGGCCACAAGUAUCACUCAAGUAAGAAUGAAGGGGAGAAACGGACCUUAUUCUUUCUUAUAGUAGGAAGAACAACUGUUAAGUUUAAUAUCCUAUUCAAUACGACUUCCCUAUGGUUGGUGUACUUGGGGACUGAAGUAUAUUGCAUCAUUAUUGUGGGCAAGGGCAUGUCUAUUGUGUGUGUUAAGGGAGUAUUGUGUGGGCAAGGGCAUGUCUACUGUGUGUAUAUUGCAUGUCUACUGUGUGUAUAUUGCAUAUCUAUUCUCUGUAUAUGGCAGGCCAAGUUUGUGUAUAUUGUUUGUCUGUUGUGUGUGUAUUGCUUGUCGGUGCGUUUGUGAAUUGUGGUUCAUUUUGUGUAUAUUGUCUUUGUUUCUACUUUUAUGCUACUGAGCUGCGGAAAACCUCGCAUGUUUAGACACCUAUUAUGAUGCAACACAUUGCGAUUAAUGGUGGCUUGCAUCAACAAUGACAUAUCACUUUGCAAUGAUGUAAUACACUUAAAAAGCCGUCUUCAAAUCCCAAUUCACAUAUGCAGUCUUAAAAUUCUAAUUCAAUGCAGUUUGGUUAACAAACAUGUAAAUGUCAUGAAGGAGUUAGCGGUAGAAUUCGAUAAGGACCCGUACGUCUCUAUUGUGUAUUUACAUUAGUUUGAGAAUGGACAUUCCCAAAACCUUCUCAUGUACCAUUUGUCAUCUUCAACCAAUAUCAUGGGAAGUAAGCAUCUCCCCUUGUUAUCUCCGCAGCCAAUUUCAACCGAAAAAAAGGCAUGUUGUGCGAGGUGCAAGUAGCUAACGGAAGCUUAGCGCUGAAAAGCUCAAUGUACUUUAACACAAACAUGCCACAAUCGCCUCUGAAGCAAAACAAGAACUCGAUCAAUUCAACUAAUGACAUUCUAAUGUAAUUGACAAUUGAAAGUAAUAAAAUUAAAUUGCAAGUUGUGCUUACUCAUUAGACUGUUGUGGAACAUCCACACGCUCUAUUGGCCACGGACACCACCAAUCUCGGCUGCAAUUGUUUGCAUAAACACCUUCUUCAUAAAAGUCGAUGGUGUUGAGAAGAUUUGGAAGCGUAAUUGAUAGCGGGCCGAGUUCUUCCUUUACGAUGUCAUCUGGAAUUAGUGAAACCUUUGAAUCGUACACUUUGAUUCACACAAUACCAGAUCAAACANNNNNNNNNNNNNNNNNNNNNNNNNNNNNNNNNNNNNNNNNNNNNNNNNNNNNNNNNNNNNNNNNNNNNNNNNNNNNNNNNNNNNNNNNNNNNNNNNNNNNNNNNNNNNNNNNNNNNNNNNNNNNNNNNNNNNNNNNNNNNNNNNNNNNNNNNNNNNNNNNNNNNNNNNNNNNNNNNNNNNNNNNNNNNNNNNNNNNNNNNNNNNNNNNNNNNNNNNNNNNNNNNNNNNNNNNNNNNNNNNNNNNNNNNNNNNNNNNNNNNNNNNNNNNNNNNNNNNNNNNNNNNNNNNNNNNNNNNNNNNNNNNNNNNNNNNNNNNNNNNNNNNNNNNNNNNNNNNNNNNNNNNNNNNNNNNNNNNNNNNNNNNNNNNNNNNNNNNNNNNNNNNNNNNNNNNNNNNNNNNNNNNNNNNNNNNNNNNNNNNNNNNNNNNNNNNNNNNNNNNNNNNNNNNNNNNNNNNNNNNNNNNNNNNNNNNNNNNNNNNNNNNNNNNNNNNNNNNNNNNNNNNNNNNNNNNNNNNNNNNNNNNNNNNNNNNNNNNNNNNNNNNNNNNNNNNNNNNNNNNNNNNNNNNNNNNNNNNNNNNNNNNNNNNNNNNNNNNNNNNNNNNNNNNNNNNNNNNNNNNNNNNNNNNNNNNNNNNNNNNNNNNNNNNNNNNNNNNNNNNNNNNNNNNNNNNNNNNNNNNNNNNNNNNNNNNNNNNNNNNNNNNNNNNNNNNNNNNNNNNNNNNNNNNNNNNNNNNNNNNNNNNNNNNNNNNNNNNNNNNNNNNNNNNNNNNNNNNNNNNNNNNNNNNNNNNNNNNNNNNNNNNNNNNNNNNNNNNNNNNNNNNNNNNNNNNNNNNNNNNNNNNNNNNNNNNNNNNNNNNNNNNNNNNNNNNNNNNNNNNNNNNNNNNNNNNNNNNNNNNNNNNNNNNNNNNNNNNNNNNNNNNNNNNNNNNNNNNNNNNNNNNNNNNNNNNNNNNNNNNNNNNNNNNNNNNNNNNNNNNNNNNNNNNNNNNNNNNNNNNNNNNNNNNNNNNNNNNNNNNNNNNNNNNNNNNNNNNNNNNNNNNNNNNNNNNNNNNNNNNNNNNNNNNNNNNNNNNNNNNNNNNNNNNNNNNNNNNNNNNNNNNNNNNNNNNNNNNNNNNNNNNNNNNNNNNNNNNNNNNNNNNNNNNNNNNNNNNNNNNNNNNNNNNNNNNNNNNNNNNNNNNNNNNNNNNNNNNUUUUCCUCUCCCUCAUCUCUAUUAUUUGGCCCUUCACCCCCUUCAAUCCCUUCAUCUUCUUUUUCCUCUCCCUCAUUUCUGUUACUUGGCCCUUCAUCCCAUUGAAUGUCAUCCAUUUCCCCAUAUCCCUUAAAUAGAUGUGAGACGACACAACGAUUCGUCCUCUGUUUCAGUAAAGCUAGGUCCCUCCUUACUUCCUGCUCAAACUGAGGACCUAAACAUUGGUCCAAUAGUUUUUCCAUCCGUAUGACCUUUAAGUGAAGGACGUCUUUUUCCCGCUUUUCUUGAAACAACUCGGACCUCAACAAGCUUACCACCUUGUUCAACUCAUCAAGAUCACCACAUGAAGAAGGAAUUGACUCUGCCGAGACAACAGCAGGGCGAUCCUGUGGCCAACUCCAAUAUGGCUGUCUCAUUUCCUCUUCACUUAGACAUAGCGCCCGCAACUGAACUGACUGUUUCAGAAUACAGACAAGAGUCAUAUUAAAUCAUUCUACUUCAUAAUUUCAUUCAAUCUUAUCAAUAGUUCUAAGGGCUGCAAACCAAACCUCUUUGCUCUGGAAAAAAUAAUUGUUCAACUUUCUCAUCUCUGGAACAGACGUAGUAGUUCUCCAUCGCAAAAUACGCGGGACAGCGGUCGGAUCAACAACCUUGCAGUAAUUCAGGUCCGCCAUUCUAGGAAUUAAUUCAUAUACCCAAAUCUACACAAUUCACAGGACAAAAGUCAUUAUUUAUGUUUUAAAGAAAAACAAAACAUAACUGACAUGAACAUUAUUACCAUGUACCUGGAAAGCAUACGUGAAACCUUUAAAACUCCAGCCACUCCUUUGCGCUUCACUAUGCUUAUCCUUCUUGCCCUUCUCAUUUCUCCGGCUUGUUCCCGUUACCUUACUUUUCCCCUUCCCUCUUCCCUCUUCAUUUUCCAAGCUUUUCACAUACUUUGUUGGUGCAGAAAAUAGACUGUCUUGGGUUUUGUCAAAGGACACCGAACCCCACGGAUACCUGUUGAACGCAUCCAAGUCCUCUACAAGGGUCAGGUAAUUUAGAUUGAUGUUCAAAUGUUUGUCCCUUCCCAAAACCACUAACUCAGCAAAGUAAACAAGAGGUAGCUUGAAGAUGUCAUCUUCCUCUGUGCACCUCACAAAUGCUUCUUCUAAAGCAUUGCAUGUAAUUCCUUCGUCUAUAAAAUAUCUUUUCUGAAGUCUGAUUUCAUUACUCUCUCCACUGGAAACUUCAGGCACUUCCCCAAAACGAAGCCCUGUGAUCAAACAGAAAUCCUGACGAGUGAACUGAGCAACGUCACACCCUAAUAAGAAACUCAGUCCAUCCAAGUCUUUCACACCCUGCCCCGCUACUCUACGCAACACAACCCCAUGCACAAUCUGUCCGCUAAACUGAAUCUUAUCUAUAUUCAGAAGAUGGCCAAAGCAUGAUGUCUUGAAUUGUUCUAAUUGUUCCGCACUCAACUUCGCUCGAAUUGCAGCUAGAGAUGAAUUUGCAUGUGAGCAGUUGUUCACCCGUGAUGAAUAUACCUCUGCCUCUGGCCAUACCAGCUCCACGUUGGAUCCCAUUUCCUCAAAUACAAUGUGAAAUAACGUGAACAUAUAUACUACCACGUAUUUGCACAAUCACAACUAGUCAACCAGGCACAUUACAACUUUUACAAAGUACAUGAGCAUAUGGAUUACUCAUCACAGGCUUUAACAUCAUCAAAGCAAUAUGACAAUUUUUGUGCAAAUACCUGUUAAUGCAAUGAUUAUGUGAAUUACAAACAAUUUCACGUGUUUUAUUUAUGGAUCCAUACUCGUGUGAGUGCAAUGUAGGCAAGUUCUGCACUUCACACACAUGACAAUUAUUGUCAUCUCAUACACAACCCAAAAUAAAUAAAUAAGAAAUAUAGUGGAAGGAAGCAAAGCAAAGCAUGUACUCUGCUAUCUGCUUGCUAAGCAAUUGCCACAUCCUUCUUUCUUUCUACCUUUUUCUUCAGUCACCCACAAUCGUCAUAGAUCAACCUUCAUUUCAAAUGCUUUGCACUUUUAUUCAUGAGUUUAUUAUUAUCUGUUCUCAUUUCUCAUAGGCAAAUUUAGUAACAAAUGAAAUAAUAUUUAUUUCACAAAAUAUAUAAAUUCUAGUGCCAGAGAGGUACUCUUCACUCUGCACUGCUUCAAAUGUGGAAGGUUUUGAGAUGUUAUUGACAUGUGAUUGACUUUAUUUUCAUUCGUUUUUUAACAUAUACCCAAGCAAAAAUUAACAUGCAAUUGAAGCACAAAUAAGAGAUGCCAAAUCCAACAACAUUGAUGGUACAAAUUGGGGAAAACCAUUACUCUAACCCUAAACUCAAAUUCCUUACAUUACUCAUCAAAUGCUUUGCAGUUCUAUUCAUGAGUUUAUUAUUAUCUGUUCAAAUGUUUCUCAGGCAAAUUUAGUAACAAAGGAAAUCAUAUUUACUUCAUAAAAUAUAUAUAUAUAUAUAUAUAUUCUAGCGCCUCUUCUUAAUCUGCACUAUGCACUGCUUCAAAUGUGGAAGGUUUUGAGGGCCUCCUCCAAUUCAACACCAUUAUCUUAUUCAUAUCAUUAUUGACAUGUUAUUCACUUGUUAUUGACUUCAUUUUCAUUCUUUUUUUAACAUAUACCUAAGCAAAAAUUAACAUGCAACUGAAGCACAACGAAGAGAUGCCAAAUCCAACAAAAUUUAUGGUACAAAUUGGGGAAAACCAUUACUCUAACCCUAAACUCAAAUUCCAUAAAUUACUCACCAAAUGCUGGUUAUUGCAAGGUGUCUGUGUGGGGUCUUUCUGUUUCUUUGCUCCACAAAUGGAACCUACCACUUCCAACGAAUACAGCUUUUCCCCUUCCCCUUCCACUGCUUCGCCUCUUCACUGAUUUGGAAUCCACACCUUUGCCCCUUCUACUCCAAAUAAAUACUUUCUCGGGGUCUGGAGAACGGAGUGGCGAAUCGUUGCCUUCAACUGUCGUUAGCCGUUGCCUUCAUUGGGUAUCUCAGACCUCUGUGUUUUAGAGAGAUGAGUUCUUUCUGUUCAAACUUCGAACUUGCCUCUUCUUCUUCUUUUUCGGACGUGUUUCCCUCUUCUUCUUCUUUUUGGACGUGCUGGAUAUUCAAUUCGGGUUUGGGUUCCUUACCUACCCAAUUGUGAAACUUUAACUCAAUUCUCCCCAGCCCUUGGAUUAAUCUGAUGGCUAUAAAGUGAACCCCUUAUAACUUACCCCUUAUAACUUUCCACUCAUUAUAGUCUUGGCCAGGUAUGGCGGCCAUGCUAGUAAGUGUUGGGUCUUUGACCCAACUUAAGCUAAAUGGGUCAUAAGAUGACCGAUCAUCUUAUCUCAUAAGGAUAUAUAAGUCAUGUUAUGAUUUAGGAUUUUAUAGGGUUUCCUUUGUAAGAGGUAAGAGAGAAACAAGCUCUCUCUCUCUCUACACAAGGAGGUCAGCCAUAGCAAGGGAAAGGCUCCUAGCACUCUCCUCUCUCUUAUUAUAUCAUCCUUCCAAGGACAGCUUUGGUAUGGUAAAGUUGGAGGUUGCACACUUUGUGCACUUUGGUAAGAACUCAUCCAAGGGAGCCAAGAUUAAAUUGGUUAGCUGUUGGAUUAAAUUGGUUAGCACGAUUCAACGGUUAAUAGAUAAAACUUCACAUAAAAGUCAUAUAUAAGGCCCUCACUAUAGAAUGACUCGUUAGUUUAGUCUCUUGUUACAUAUCAAAUGUUAGAGAUAUUUUUUAAUAAGGAUCUGCCAUACCACAUAGUUGGAUAAGACAUUAUACACGGCUUUUGUAAGAGCAUCUCCAGCGCUCCAAACUAGCCCAAGCAGCAGGGGGGCCUAAGUCUAGGAAGCAGCUCCAGCUCGCAAGAUUCAACCCAGGCAAGGUGUGGAACCCACGAGGAGAUCUAGCCCGUCACCUUGCCUUUGGGUUUCAGUCAAGCUGAUGUCAACGAAAGAAUUUCAAAUUUUUUUUACCGUUACAAUGUACGCGCCAACGAUAAAUUUUCUUUGGAUUUCUUGCAUUGAUCCACAGCUACCAAAAACCAACAGCUACAAGCCACGUGGCUUCUCCAGGAGCCUCCGAUCCAAAAAUCAUGUCAAAUCUAACGGCAGUCCAUUUUUUGGCUAAAAAUAUCAAAAAAUUAUGGAAACAUGUUCUAUAAAUUCCUACAAAUAUUAUUCACUUCCCACACCAAAUCUUCAUACAAAUUCAUAUCCUUUCAAUAUUUUUCACUUUCCAUACAAGAUUUUCUACUACUAAGUUUCGUUUGUGUAAAAAUACAAAUGACCUCUUCUAUCGAAGCCGGAGGCGCGUGUACAACCGUGGAAGAUAUUUUGUUGCGUGAGUGUUGGGUCAAAGUUGGUCAUUCCCUGAUCACGGGCAAUGAGAUGAAGUCCUCUCGUAGGAGUUUCUGACAUCGCAACGAAAGUAAGAUGUGAUAUGAAAAUGUAAGGAAUUUGAUGAGAGGAAUGGGAUUUGAGGAGUUUGAUGUAGGAAUUGAUGUAGGAAUUGAAUUUGGGAGGUAUGUAUAUAAGAUUUGAGGGUAUGUGUUUAGGGAUUUUGAUAAGAGGAUUUGAGGAAUUUAGAUUUGAAGGAUUUGGAUUUGGGGAAUUUAAAUAUGAGGAAUUUGAUUAGGGUUUGGGUUUGAAUAUGUGAAAUUUGAUAUGAGAGUUUAGAGACAACAGAUGAUCGAUUGCUCUGAUACCAUGCUAAAAUAUGAUAUGGUUUGAAUACUUUAGGUUGAGUUUUAUUCUUUUCCAUAAAAAGGUAUAUAUAGGAGUUUACAUGAGUGCUUUACAAAGAAAUAGAUACAAUAAUCAAUUAGGAUAAUAUCUCCUAAUUAUACAAUAAUUUGUCAACUAUAUAGAAUAGGAAAGUAAAUUCCUUAAUUAAUCAAGAAAAUAAAUCUCAUUGAUUAAUUAGGAGACUAACGUCAACAUUUAUAAGCCAUAAAAGAGCAGAAAAAGAGGUACUUAGGAGAUUUUAUACGUCGGACUAAGGUAAGCUUAAAGGACUAUAUCAAAAAAAUAAGGGACCAAGAAGCAAGACAGAGAAGUUGUUAUGCAAACCCAUUAAGUUUAGCAGUGAUGAAUUUGUAAAAAUCAUUCUAGUGGAUUCUGCCUUCACUAUUGAGUUCUUAUUGAGGUUCUAUCUGAAAGGAUCUGGACAUGAAGGAGACCGCUUAUUAAACAAACCGUGGAUGUUUACAGCCUGACAUGUGGUUGCUUGAAAAUCAGCUCCCAUUCUUUAUUCUUGAGGAUCUUUAUCACACAUACAUAAUAACCGACUCUUUUAGGAAUUAUUACAGUACUCAUGAUCAUGAGAGGCUUUCAAUAAUUAAUAUUUCUAAGAAUUUCUUCACAGCCGGAAUAUUGAAUUUGGAGGGGAAGGGAGACAAAUGGAACAGAAUAUCAUCUUCUUCUAGUGUUGGAAAUUUUAUAUUAUUUAAUAAUAUUUAAUUUCUAUUGUGAAUGAAAAAUAAGUUUCUUUAAGAAACGUGUGUCUUAGGCCAGUUUUUCUAACUGGUCGGCUUCCUUAGAUUUGUGCCUAUUGCUUUUCAAAGUAUAAUGAUGCAAUGGUUGUAUCUCGUUCAGGCAAAUGGAAGGUAUAUAGCAAUUUAUAGAACAAUACAGUAAUCCAGAAGAAAUAUUAUGAAAUGAAAAGAAUAAAAAGUAAAAAAAGAGAAAGAAAGGAAUUCCCACCUGCAAUGUAUAUGUAUGAAAGGAAGGACCAAGUUUGUUUUAAAAUGGUAAGAACAAGUUGAUUUUAAAUUGGGUUCAGAUCAACUCAUAGAUUUCUUGCCUUUUCUGUUCUCCUUCCUUGGACAUGAACUGUUUAAUCUUGGACUCUUCCCCAUCAUGUUGGGCCUGUCUUCUUCUUGAGGAUUGUAUAGGCCUAGGAAAUGCUUCGGGGUAGUUUUUGUGUUUUGGGCAUUGGGACCCAACUUCACAAAAAGAAAACAAAUUUGACCAAAACACAAAUUUGAAGGACAUUGAAAUUGUACCCGUAGGAUAGAUUAAAACACUAUAAGGGAGGUAAAUAGUACGUUUACAGAGUUUAAGUGUAAUAAAGGAAUAAAAACAUGCCCAGAGAAUUGAUAAGUGAUAUCAAUUCUUGAAUAUACGUGAAAAUUAUUUUAUGUGGUUAAACCCCACCUCUGGGGAAAAUCCACGGAACUUCUUAGUCCAACUUCUAUCACUUAUCCUAGACACAUUCUAGAUAAUGUUUGCCAACCUCUUCGUAACUCAACUUCUGUCACGAGAUGAUCUUUCAACACUUUAUGUCGAACGCAAUACUGGUCACGAUUUCUUCAAGCUCGCCGGAGUUCUUCCAAUUCUCCUUAUAUUGAAUCUGAUACUAGUCACGAUCGAUUCAAGCUCAUCGGAGAAAAAUCGCCACAACAAUCUUGGUGCCCUCAACCGUAUGAGUCACUGAACAUGCAAAUGAAUACAAUAUGAAUGAUAAAAGUGUUUGAUAAAUCACCAAGUUAUGGAACACUUGAUGAUUUAUCUCAAAUAAAAAUUCAGCUUUCCAAAGUUUAUGAAUUGAAAAUAUGACCGUUAAAGCUCUCUAAACAAAGAAGACGAAGGUCUUAUUUUAUAGACUUUUACUUUACAAGAAAGAAAACACGUUGAAAACCAAAUCUCCAAUUUCCAAGGCUUGACAGAAAAUCACAAAAUUAUCUUUCCUAUUCUAGAGAUUGGUCACAUGAAGUCCAACCAAUAGGAAAUGAGAUAUUUAAGAAAGGAAGAUUUUGAUCAAUAUCAAUAUCAAAUGAAUUCUUAUACGCCUAGUCAAUUGUUAUGGGUAUCUUGACUCCUUGAUAUUGUGAUAUGAUUGAAACAUGAUUUCCACGUUAGAAAAUUAAGGGGAUGUUAAAACAUGAAGGUAAUAGGAGAAUCAAAUUGAUUUGGGCCAAAAUUGCCUAAAAAGAAAACACUCCUUAAUAAACUUCAAUUUACUUUUAAAAAUAGUAAAACGUGAUUGAAUCGUUCUUUAAAACAAUUCCCUAAUAUACAUGCAUGAUAGUGAUAUCACUUACCUUUGAAUCAGAUGGCUUUCACGGGUCAAGCCACAAGUUUUUGUCUUGGGGAUUGCUGAGCUUCAUCAAUCCUGCCAAUGUCAAUUUUGCCCCUAAGCUCUCUCAAAGCACGUUUACAACCUAUGCUAACAUAUAUUAGAGUUUAUGUUAGUAUCAAGAAAAUGCCAACACUAAUUUCGUAACACGUAGAAAUUGUUAGAGAUUGAAGUUUUUAUCAUUUUUUCUUCCAGACUCUCCACCACUCACUAAUAUAGUUUACUCAUGUGAUGAGUUUACAAAACCUAUUUCUCUACUCUCACAAAGACUAUACUUAGGGGGGUGUAUUCAAUUAGGAUUCUAAAGCGUUUAAAAAGAUUUUGUUUAAGUGCCAGCUUUCAUAGAACUUGAUGGAACUUUAUAAUUCGUAUAGAACUUGAUAGACUUUCAGAAGACUUCUGUAUAAUUUUUUAAUAAAACUUUCUUAAGCUUUCAUAGAACUUGAUAGGCUUUCAUUCCAAACUUAUGUAGAUGGUAUAUUUCAUUUUAUCCCCAUCCUUGACAUUUAAAGAAAGAAACUUGAAUUUUUUCAAUCAAAUUUGUUUUUGUUACCAAAGCAGCAAAAACAAAAAGUACUUGUUUGCGAUGGAAGAACAUAUGCACAGUUCAAAAUGAAAAGAAUAAGAAGCAAAGUACCUAUUUGACCAAUGAAUGCUGUGUCAACUAGAGAAGCAAUUGGAUCGGCUGUCAAAGCCAAUGCUGCAGGCAAUGCAUCGAUGGUCCAAAUUGCAAUAAAAAAAUAUUUUGAAUAAUGGCUCUUGCAGACAAAGACCACAUAAAUUCUGAACUGGUCUAGCUUGAAUAAUAAGGUUAGAUUAGCCAAUUGAUGAGAUUAAAAGCAAAGCAAGUUGAUGAAUUUAUCAUCAACUAUUUAAUAACCACAGUCCUGAUCUCUUGGACCCCUGUAGUCCAAGAGAUUUAUGGUCACCCACCGUUGGAUGUAAAUUCAACGGUUGACUUGAAUCGGGUAAUAAUCAUUUAUGUCAUAUUGCAUUUAUAUAUAUCAUUUUGAACCAUUGGAUUAAUAUCCAACGGUGGGUGACCACAAUCUCUUGGACUCCUGUGGUCCAAGAGAUCGGGACUGUUAAUAACCAAUAGAGUAUUUAAACAUAAACAACAAUGUUUGAUCAACAAAACAAAUAGUCCAAAUAUCAUCCAAAAAACAAUAACAAAAAAUCAAUCAUUCCAAACAAACUAGUCAUUCUCAAAAACUCUCAAAAAACCCACUCAUUCCAAAUUGUAGGAUAUCCAAUUUGAGCACUCCUCAGGAGACAUUUUCAAAAAUGCAUCCUUUUUUGUGUUACUAUGCAACAAAGAGAGUGCUUUAUAACGAGCAUGUUCAUCCAAAUUUGGGGUCUCCUUAAUGGCAUCCCAUAUAUAACUCCGCUGCUCUCUCUCUUUUUCCCUUUUUGCCAAUAGGUUAUGGACCUCCCGGAAGUCGAUGACAAUUGAAUCAAUGCUAAGGCUAAUUCUUCCCAUAGCUUGCUGGGUGGUCACAUUUGAGAUAGCAUUCCCUUCCAAAUAUGUUCUAGUUCGUUUCCUCUAGUAACAAGCAUAAAUCCUAGUAACAAGCAUAAACCCUAACCCCAACCUAUAACCUAAUAACAAGAAGAAAACCCAACGAGGUAUUGAUCAAAGAAAAAUUAGGGAGCAUACCUUCACAGAUGGAGGAAGGAAGCUGUUCGUCUUCGCAGAGAGAAAAUCUAGGGAAAGAGAAAAACGUCUUAUGAAAUACUUGGGGGGGAGGUUGGAUUUAUUUUGGUCUUUUUUAUUUAUAACUCUCCCCUUAAAACCUACGUAAAUUUAUCACUUAAUGAAAUCCUUCCAAAUAUAUGACCUUUCGAAUACACCUAGAUUUGAUUCAACUUUUUUAUAAUCAUAAUUGAAUACACCCAUAUUUGAAUGGACUUUUUAAAAGUUCAUAUAGGUCCGAAAUGAAUAUACUCAAACUUGUAAAACCUCUUUUAAAGUUUGUAUAAAUCCAAAUUGAAUACACCUGGAUUUUUAAAAUCUUUUUAAACACUUUAUAAUCCUAAUUGAAUACACCCCCCUUAUUCUCAAAAGACUAUAUUACUUUACCUCUAUCUCUGUGAAAUGUAAAAAGUUGAAACUUUAAUGUCAAACCUCAACAAAAGAUGAACUUUCAUCAGUUACGUUGAAUUUGGAUUUGUUGAACUUAAGUGGUUUUAUUUUCUUUGUCAGUGUUUGAUGACUUAAUUUGGUAUUUAUUUCUUCUUUUUUUUCCUUGGAAAUGUGUUCCACCAACGUGAGGAAGAAAAAUAUGCACAAAUUAAUAUAUUUAAUAGAAGCCCAAGAUUUCGGAUGCAUAUAAUUUCUACAAAAAUCUACAAAGUUUUUUACUUUACAAACUUCUUAUGUCUACCAAUUUCUACUAAAAUUAAUUUCUCUGUGGUGCUCAAAUUCAUCAUAUGUGUGUCGUUAAUUUUAUUGAAAAUUGGAAGUUCCCAUCAUUUUUGUUUUUUGGGAAUUUUCUGAACCAAGGAAAAUCAAGUAAAAUUAAUAAAGCCUAAAUUGGAAAGGGAAAAUAUCUAGAGGAUGCAUUGUAGGAUUGCUCAUGCCAAUAAUUGUACCCUCUAAAUAUAUAGAGACAUAUUUUUUUUGUUUUCAUGACAUGUGGUCCUAAAAUUAUUGUGUAAAUCUUCAAUCCUGAACGAUGCACCUAAAACUCAUCCACCCAUUCUCAGGCCAAUUAUUGCACCUAGUGGGCUCUCGACCCCCUCUCAAAUUUAACCACAUAUUUUAUGGACCAUCCAGCUGUGAGGUACAUUCCCCCCACAUGCCACAAUUGUAUAUUCACAAUUACGUCUGAUACAUCACAUCAUGCCACUUGCCUCAAAUGAAUUUAAGUGAGUGAGGCAGUUGGAAGUAAUUAAGCUCUAUAUUGGUGGGUGGAGUGUUACUUCUCGGUUCCCCUCAUCAUUCGUCUAUAAAAUGGUGAAGGCAGUUGCUAUUGUUACCAUAAGAGCCAGCUCCGACUUCCUUUAAUUUCUUGCUUCAUAUCCACUAGCUACAUCUGUUACCAAGUUAAUUUCAGUUCUAAUGGGGUUUCAUCUCCCACUCAUCUUUGCUCUUCUCAGUGUAAGCUCUGCAAUUUGAUUAACUUUUCCAUUCUCUCUCAUUGUACUCUAUAUAAACGAAAGUUUUGUGUUCCUAUUGUUCUCUCCGAUUUUAUUUAGUACGUACUUAAGUGUCGUCCACUAAUUAAUUAUACUUUGUGAUUUGAUUUUAAUUUGAGUUUGAAUUAAUGUUGCAGCUAGCAGCAGUGGCACUGGCAAACCAUGCUGCUCAACCAGCACCUCAACUUUACUGGAGCUCCGUCCUGCCAAACACACAGAUGCCAAGAUCUAUCAGUGAACUUCUGCAUCCUGGUUUGUGUUGAGCUCUUUAGAAUCUUAGAUAUCUCUUCUACCUGCCAUUUUACUAAAAUAUGUUCCACCACAUAUUUAUCAGUUAACCAUUGUCAUUACAUGAGUGACACAUAUUCACAAAUCGGCUGAUCACUUAUUUUCCAUUAUGACUUGAUAUAUAAUUUGCAGACUCCACAAAUGAAGAAAAGAGCACAAAUGACGUUGGCAAACCUGAAACUUUCCCAUUGGGCAAUCAACAUUACUCCAGUCAAAAACAUUAUGGAGGCAUACCUGAAACUUCCCCAUUGGGCAAUAAACAUUACUCCAGUCAAAAACAUUAUGGAAGAGGCAAACCUGAAACUUUCCCAUUGGGCAAUCAGCAUUACUCCAGUCAAAGACAUUAUGGAAGAGGCAAACCUGAAACUUUCCCAUUGGGCAAUAAACAUUACUCCAGUCAAAAACAUUAUGGAAGAGGCAAACCUGAAACUUUCCCAUUGGGCAAUCAGCAUUACUCCAGUCAAAAAAAGUAUGGAAGAGGUGCUUCUCCAUCCGACAAUCAACAACUCCAUUAUAAAGACUUAGCUAUUUUCUUCUUGGAGAAGGACAUGCGCCCUGGCACAACAAUGAAGUUCCAAUUCC